AAAAGCCUUUGAUGAUACAAAAGCAGGUGUGAAGGGACUUGUAGAUGCUGGUUUAACAAAGAUUCCUCGUAUAUUCAACUGUCAACAGUUUAUUUUCCAGCAUAGCUCAAAAACUACAUCAGAUCAGCACAACGUUCCUGUCAUAGACCUUAAGGGGAACCUUGAAGUUUCAUCUUUCGAGGCAGACAUCAUUGACAGAGUUCGAAACGCAUGCGAAAAGUGGGGUUUCUUUCAGCUAAUCAAUCAUGGGAUUCCAAUUAAUAUCAUGGAUGAGACCCUCAAUGGAGUUCGGAGAUUUCACGAGCAAGACACUGAAGCUAAGAAACAACUUUAUACAAGAGAUCUCUCAAAAAAGGUAUAUUACGUGUCAAAUUUUGAUCUGUAUCAAGCUGGUGCGGCCAAUUGGAGGGAUUCUUUUGUUACUUCCAUGGCUCCUGAUCCACCCAGCUCUGAAGAAUUGCCUGAUGUUUGCAGGUAUGUUGUGAUAUUUGCUAGGCCAUAGUUUAUUUUAGGUCACUCGUAUACUUGAUGAGAAUGUGGAAUUGCAGAGGCGAAGUGAUUGAAUACACAAACCAAGUAAUGAAAUUGGCAAAUACCCUAUUUGAGUUGCUAUCACAGGCUUUGGGGCUCAGUCCCUGUCACCUCAGGGACAUGGGUUGUGCUAAGGGCCUCCUGUUUGUAGGUCACUAUUAUCCACCAUGUCCUGAACCAGAGUUCACCAUGGGCACGACCCAACAUACAGAUGGUACCUUCAUCACCAUACUUUUACAAGACGAAAUAGGAGGUCUCCAAGUUCUUCAUGAGGACCAAUGGGUGGAUGUGUCUCCCUUGCCCGGAUCUCUGGUAAUAAAUGUUGGAGAUCUUCUACAGGUAAGUAAAAUUCACUUUGGAAUUAGUCAUGGCUGUUAUUGUUAAAUCAAGAAUGCAAAGAUCUUCGUGUCUCUUUUUUGUGCAGCUUAUCUCCAAUGACAAGUUUAUUAGUGCUAAUCACAGAGUAUUAGCUAAGAAAGUUGGGCCAAGGAUUUCGGUGGCAUGUUUUUAUAGGCCACACAUUCAGACAGGAGGUAGCUCAGAAAUUUAUGGACCAAUUAAGGAAUUGUUGUCAGAAGAAAAUCCUCCGAUUUACAGAGAAACAGAUGUGAAGGAGUACAGGAGAAUUUACAUCUCCAAAGGUCUGGAUGGCACAUCUCCACUCGUACAUUUCAAGCUCGUUUAGGAACUUGGAUCCAUAUCUUUUGAAGCCUCGAUGGCGGUUUUUUAUGUAAUCGUCAAGUAUGUCGCAUUUGUAAUAAACUCGGUUUCAGAAGUGGGGGGAGCUAAAAGAACUAUCAGAAGUGAAAGAUGUGAAUUUUUAGUAGUUGGAGCUCUAUUACGUUUGAAGAAAGAGUGUAAGAACUUUGUGUAAUAUUUUAGACCAAUAAAACGUGAUUACGCUGCUUUGAUGAUAACUAAAUAUUUCAGAGAUGUCUUUUACACAUUCAAAAAGAAAAGGUGUUGAUUUGGACUUUAAUGUGAGAGUAUUAGUAAAUCAAAAAAGUAAAAGAUGUAUAGAAAAAUGAGAAAGAAAUGAGAUAGGCACUGAGAUCAAUUUAUUUGCAUCUUUUUAAGUCAAUUAAGGAUUUCACAACUAUUUAAUGAUGAUCAAACAUUUCACUAAUGUAUUUUACACAUUGACAAAGAAGAGAUGAUGAUAUGGACUUUAAUACGAGAGUAUUUGAAAAUCAGUAAAGUGAAAGAUGCACAGGAGAAUAAGAAAGAAAUGGGAUAGCCACUAGGAUCAAUUUAUUUGCAUUCUUUUAAGCUAGUGAAGGAUUUCACAACUAUUUGAACAUAGUUAAAAAUAACUAAAUAACAUAUUAUAUGAUUUUAACGGUAAAAUGCAUAUCUAAGUGAGAAGGGUAAUUUUAAAAGAUCACAAUACAGUGAAGAGCAAAAUUCUGAGCUUUAACAUGUAUAGUUAUUUUUACAUAGCAAAGGUGUUUUCAUUCAGUGAGUGAAGAAGUGAAAUCUAAACAGUAGUCAUUUGUGACGUAGGGUGAGGGGUUUCUUCUUUACAUGUAGAUUGGGAUAUGCCAUUUGUAGAUCCAAUAUAUGUUUUUUGUUGGUUAUAACAAGAGUGUUUUAAACUGAUUUGGCUUGCCAAAUAAGCAAAAAAGUAAUCAGAUAAAGGUUUUGUCAGUUUUUAAAAUAAAUAAUGAUGUAGUGGAAAAAGCAUUUGAAAUGUCAAUAUCAUAUUGUACUCUGCAAGAUGAAAGAAUAUAUAUACAUAUAAUAAGGGCGAGAUUGUUAAUAAAAGAUAGACGGUUUUCAAAUUUUUUUUAAAGAAAGAUGACGCUGGGUCAUGACAAUGCCCAUAUUUAGUUGCAGUUUCACAAAGAAAAAAAAAAGAAAAAUAUUAGUUUGAGAGCUUUUAAAGGUUUCAAAAGAGAUGAUGCUGAGAGGGAAGAUUUUUUUUACAACUCAUGAAAAUGACUAUACUGAGUUUUUCAAAAUAAAAGUUGAUGCCUUUGAAAAACAUUAGAGUGAAUUCAUUAAGGUUAUUUGGUUGAACGUACUUGAAAAAUGCAAUUUGUUUUGCACCCAUCAUUGAGUCCUUUGAUACAACAAAAUUUGAAAAAUGUAAUAUCUGCCAGAUGAGAUGGACUAAUUCUUCUUUUUUUUUUUUACUCUGUACUGUUUUUCUACUUUCAGUGUGUUUACACAUUUUUUUUUCCUUUUCAUAGAUAAUGUUGCUUAUAUAAUAUUCGGCUAAACUCCGGUGUUGAAAUUCUCACUUUUCGGCCCAAAUCUCCAUCGGAAUCCAGAAUCUCAAAACUGAAAUCUUUAUAAGGGUAAAAUAGGAUUUUUUAUAAAAUUAAUUUGAAGUAUUUUUAAACGUGUUAAAUAAAAAGAAAAAAAAAAGUUUUGUAAAGGUUUUAAGGUUCGGCUGCCGAAGGUGGUUUAACCACCUAUAAAAAGGGCUCUGCCCGAAAUGGAGAGAACUUUCUCUCCAUUUCGGGCAGAAGUGAGCUUUCAUAGCCUUUUCCUUCACAAUGCUUCUUUUAAGUAGUUUUCUCAUGAGCUUUUCCUUUGAUUUUGAAGAUUUGAGUUGUGAUUCAAAGUUCUAGCUCUUGGGACCCUCGGAGCUCAUCUCUCAAUCUCCUAAAUCCUUCCUUUGCUUGCUGCAAUUUUCCUGAUCUUCAAGAGGUAAGUUUGAUCUUUGCCUCCCUUCUUCUGCUGAGGUUAUUAAAAGAGGAAAAAGUAAUUUCUAUGGAUUAAUGAUGUAUGUAAGACCUUUUUUUAUGUUUUUGAGUUUAAAAUUUUGUUUUUGAGUAAUGGAGGAUUCUUCUUGUAUUGUUGUUGAUGCAUGAUGAGGAUUAGGUCAAGUAUAGAUGUUCCUUAUGUGUGUUAAAUGAGUAUGGCUGUUUUAAGCUUCUGCAUAUAUGUUUAGAAACCAUUUUGGGGCUGCAUGUUUAGGGCAGAAUCGAGUUUUGCCUUGAUGGAGAAUCCAUAUUCGGCAAUCGAAGCAAGGUUCGGCUGCCGAACCUGCCUGUGGAGGCAGCUUUUAGGCUACUGAACCUGCCCCCAAAGGUUUUAACCUUCGCAUCUAUGAGGGACCUUCGGCCGCCGAACCUGCCGCCGAAAGUCCCUUGCCCAGCCAUUUUCAUCUUGUUUCCUAUGUGUGUUCUUGUAUGUUUAUAGGAGUUUCUUGAGGGGUUGUUUUAAGCGUUGUAAAAGCUAUGUUUGGUCUCUCAUUUAAGUCCAUCUAUGUAGGAUCGGGCUUGGGAGAUCGAAGAGGCUUGCAGUGAGAUAACUGUUUCAGUACUAGGCGAGCGUCAGCCAAAGGUGAGUAGAACUAAACUAAAUUAUUAUUUAAAGAAAUCAAACUUUUUAAGCAUGCUCAUGCAUUAUGAAUUACAUGUAUAUGUAAUUAGGUUGUUUUGCAUUAGAAUUCACGAAUAUGAUGCAUUACAUAAUUUAUUGUUGUUGUGGAUAGAUGUUGGAUGACUCACUAACCCUCGAGUAUGUUAUAAUAUAUUAUGAUGGAUACAAAAAUUCAGGUCGACACCCAUUCUACGUCCCUGGCACUAUGGAUAUGUUAUGUUAUGUUUAAGAGGAAGUCCUGAGCAGCACCCAUUGUGGGCCGGACACUACUGGAAUAUAUAGAGGGUUACUGAUGAUAAAUCCAUCUUGAUGUUAAUUGUUUGUGUUGUGAUGCAUUCAUACGAUCAUAUGUUUUAUUGAACUGCUUUUUUAUAUUAUGCUCACUAAACCCUUGUGGCUUAUCCUUUUGCCCUAACUCCAGUUUUGCAGGAUCAGAGUUAGCUCGGAAAGUUGGCUGAGUUACUAGUAUAGUCUGUUGUAAUAGUAUAGCUAUGGACAUGUAUUAAAUUGUGGAUUAAAAUUGUGUUUUGUCCUAGUGUUUCCUUGUAAUCCCCGCUUCAUGAUCCUUAUAUAUAAAAGUUUUAAGUAUAUGUUAUGUUUGAACCGAACUUGAGGCAUGUUAUAUUGACCAUACUGGGGCAUUUGAUGAGAGUUCUAGUAUGGGUUUUAUGUUCUCAGUUAUGAUGCAUGCAUAGGUCGAGUCUUAGUUCAUGUAAUGAUUUUAUUUUUGUUGUUCGUGUGAUCAUGUAUGAGACUAUAUCAGGUAUAACCGGAUGUAUAUUAGACUUGCUAUGGAUUCUGAUGACCUUAAGUCGAUCUGAACCCUAGUGCCGGUAGCGGUCCGGUUCUCAGGUUGUUACAGUUUAGGAUUACAAUAAAGAAUAUUUCUGCGAGGUUCUUAAUGAGUUUGGUUUGCCUCGUCCAUGCUACCAGGCUUAGACUAAUGAUAAUGAAACUUUUUAUGUUAAGGUUGUCUAUUUGCAUCAUGAUAAUGAGGGAACUAUGACAAUUUCUGAUCAAUUUGGAAUUAGUAAUGUUAGCAUGAAAGAUACUAGGUAUAUUGUAACUGUUGCUGCUCUAGAUUUUUUGAAGACCAUAUAUAUGAAUUUGAAGUUUAGAACUACAAUUGUAGGGACUUUGGAGUUACGAAGAAUAGCUAUAUAUAUAUAUAAGCAUUUGCUGAACUACAAUUGAGCUCCCAUCUGGAGGCUGUGGACCAUCGGCCCACACAGACAACUGGAUUUAUUUAUGGGUUAUGUGAGUUUGUUAGUCCAAAUUCAGUUAUAGGAGUUUAUUGGUCCAGAAUAGCCAACCUAUUAUUAUCUUCUAAUUGGAAUUUAAUUGCAAAUAUUUUUAUUUUUCAUUUUUUUUUACUUAGACUAGAAAAAUUAUAUGCCAACAAAAUUUUUGAAUAAAUAUACAUAAUUUAUUUUUUUAUUAUUCAGUUAUAAUAUUAAAAAAUGAAAAUUUAAGUUAAAUUUAUAUAUAAAAAAAUUCUGUAGCAUUAAUAAAAUUUUCAAAAUUAAAAAAAUCUAAAUAAGUCAUAGCCCUAAAAAUAAUUUAAUUUGAUACAGAGAAUAUUUUUAAUAAGCAAUAAUUCAUAUUAAAUUUAUUUAUUUAAUUUUAAUUUUGAAAAAAAAACAUAUAAAAAUUAUUUUCAAUGGUGCAAUUUCACUAUAAAUAAUGUAUAUUAAAUUUUCUUACUUAAUUUUAAUUAUUAACCAUAAAGAGAAAUAUUUUAAAAUGCUCAUUACUUAUAAUAUGUUAUAAUACUUAUAAAUUAUCUUUAUAAAUAAAUAGUUCUGCUAAAUAAAUAAUUAUUAUUAUUGAUAUUGUUGAAAGCAAAAUAAUGAUGUAAUUGGAAUGGAGAUAUAUGGUGAUUGACUAAUUCUGCAAGACAAAUAAAAUGAGGUGGUGGGUAUCUACGAUAACCACUUCGAUGCUUAAGUCAAUAAACUGGAGAAAAUGGUGAAUUAAAGACUUGAGAGUAUUUGUGUGGGAGAAUAGCGUACAUUUGCCUUUAUGAUCGUUUUCCUUUUAUGCUGUAAGAAUGUGAUGAUAAAUAUAAUAUUUUUUGAUAAUUUGAUGUGACCGACUCGUUGGUAAAGGAACUUCACCGGCUACUUGAUCGAGAAUCCCAUGACUACAAACGUAAAGGGGAUCUGCUAGAUUAUAGCUGUUAAUGAUAACUUUGUUAUGGAGCCUCGCCUAAAGUUAAGAGGGCGAGUCUAUCCGAUCUGAGGUCGACCUGUCCUAAAGUGCCUAAGUCUUUUUUCUCUCGUUGUUUGGACCUUCCUUUCUAUAGGUGAGACCGCAUAUUAAUUUAUCAGAUCCUUACUACCUGACCCUAUUUUAUGGUAACAGUUCACUUCCUGCUUUGGGCAAUUGUUGUGUAACAUCAGAGGUCCCCCGCUGGUCUUUAAUUCUUUAGAUUUAAAGGUGACAACUAUUUUCAUGAAUUGGGCCAUGUGACUUGUUUGUCCAGGUUGAACAUAGGAUGUCCUUGCUUUCUUCUUACUUUCCCUACCGACCAGUUAGGUCCAAGAUCUUAUUUGGAAAAAAUUGAUCCGAGUGAUAUAGUAAUGUGUUGACUAGUUUUCAGGCUCGUUCUAGCACCAACCAGCCUUGGGGAUUAUCCAAAUAUUUUCCAGCCCUGUCGAGUUUCUAGCCCUAACCAUCCUUGACGAGCUUUUGAGAAUUUUUCAAGCCUUUACAAGCUCCUUUCGCUAGAGCUUCUAGGCAUUUUUCUAGCCCUGACAGGUUUUCAGGCAUUUUCUAGCCCUUGCGAGCUCUUUGGCUUUUUCUAGCCCUUGCGAGCUUUCUUGAUAAGCUUUCGGCCAUUUUUCUAGCUCUUGCAAUCUUCAGGGCAUUUUCUAAUCCUAGCGAGCUCCUUGGCCUUUUCCAGCCUUGACGGGCUUCCUUGUGUUUUUUUAGCCCUAACGAGCUUUCGAGCAUUCCGUAGCCCGUGUGAGCUUCUUGGCCUUUUUUAGCCCUUGCCAGCUUCCCACCCUUUGCGAGCUUCUAGGUAUUUUCUAGCUCUUGUGAGCUCUUUGGUCUUUUUCGGUUCUAACAAGCUUCCUUAACAAGUUUCAGGGCAUUUUUCUAGCCCUUUCGAGCUUCUGGGUAUUUUCUAGCUGUGGAGCCCACUUGCUUAUGGGAAUGAUUCUCACAUCAUUUGUAAAUGAAAUUGAAAUUGAAUAUAUAUUAGUUAAGCUAUAAACUACUGAAUAACUCAGGUUAACCAUUUUGAACCAAGUGAAAAGUGGGUAUAAAAAUUAUUUGGGUCAGUUUAGGCCGGACUGUUACAAUUGGUAUUAGAGCCACUCUAGGUCAAAAAAUUAUGCAGAGCUGGUAAGCCUACAAGGAAAGGGCUAUCCAUGCGAGACGAGGUGGAGCCGCCUGAGGUACUAAUGAACCACAAUACUCGAGAGUCCGGUCCUGGAAUAGCAAUUGUAUCCAAUUCAGCACAACAAGAUCGCAACAGAGACGUUGCAGAAUUUAGUGAGAGAGAGUUGUGGAGCCCACUUGCUUGUAGGAAUAAUUCCCACAUCGUUUGCAAAUGAAAUUGGAAUUGAAUAUAUAUUAGCUAAGUUAUAAACUACUAAAUAAUUUGGAUUGACCAUUUUGGGUCAGGUAGAAAGUGGGUCCAAAAGUCAUUUAGAUCAGUUUGGGUCGGACUGUUAUACUAGCUCUUGUGAGCUCCUUUGUCUUUUACAACCCUGAUGGGCUUCCUUGAGUUUUCCAGCCCUGACGAGUUUCCUUGCAUUUUCCAGCCCUGACAAGCUUCUGAGCAUUCCCUAGCUAGUGCGAGCUCCUUGGACUUUUCUAGCCAUUGCGAGCUUUCCUUGACAAGCUUCUAGGUAUUUUUCUAACCCUUGCAAGCUCUUUAGCCUUUUCCAGCCCUGAUGGACUUCUUUUCAUUUUCCUGCCUCACAAGCUUUCGAGCAUUCUUUAAUCCGUGCAAGCUCCUUGACCUUUUUCUAGCCCUUGCGAGCUUCUGGACACUUUCUAGCCCUUGCAAGCUCCUUAGUCUUUUCUAGCCUUGACGGGCUUCCAUGUUUUUUCUAGCUCUGACAAGCUUCCAAACAUUCCCUAGCCCGUGCGAGCUCCUUAGCCUUUUCUAGCCCUUGAAAUCUUCCUUGACAAGCUUUCGGGUUUUUUUUCUAGCCCUUGCGAGCUUCUGGGCAUGUUCUAGCCCUGUUGAGCUUUCAAGCAUCAAAUGCCUUAGAAUCAUUUUGUGAGGCGGGACUAACACCCGAUUAGUCAGCUUGACUUAUACCCACCUUGCAGCCUUGCAUGAACUUUCUUAUAAUCUUCUUGUGAAAUGGAAUUAACACCCGGUUAGUCGGCCUGGCGUAUACCCACCUUGUGGCCUAGCAUGAAAUCCCUUAGAAUCUUCUUGUGAAGUGGGACUAACACCCGGUUAGGCCUAGCAUAUAUUCGUCUUGCAGCCUGACAUGAAAUGCCUUAGAAUCUAUUUGUGAAGCGGGACUAACACCCGAUUAGUCGGUCUGAUGUAUACCUGUCUUACGGCCUAGCAUGAAAUGCUUUAGAAUCUUUUUGUGAAGCGGGACUAACAUCUUGUUAGUUGGCCUGGCGUAUAUCUGCCUUGCGGCCUGACAUGAAAUGCCUUGAUUAGUGGGUCUAAUGUCCAGUCUUCUGACUUGACAGAUUCCUAACUUAUAGCCUUGUUUCUGUGGGACUAAUAUUUGAUCUUCUAGUCUGACAGAUUCUUGAUUUAUGGCCUUGUUUUAGUGGGACUAAGACCCAAAUGGCUAGGCAAUUACCUUAUGGACUUUCUUUAUUUAUGUUUGUUUCCACAGUCCAAUGCCUGGAUUAUGGCUUGGUGACUGCCUUAUGGCCUAGCAUGAGAUACCUUGAUAUGCGGGAUACAUGCCUGAAUGAAUUUGUUUAUUUUCACAGUCCAACGCGCAGAUUAUAUGCAGGACCUAUGCCCCGACGGCCUUGUGUCUUUUAAUAAAUUUGUUUGUUUCCACGGUCCAACGUCCGGAUUGGGACCUGGCAAUGCCUUAUGACCUGAUAUGAGAUGCCUUGAUAUGUAGGACCCAUGUCCGGAUAGCCUUGUGGGCUUUUAUGAAUUUAUUUGUUUCCACGAUCCAACACUUGGAUUAUGGCAUAGCGAUUGCCUUAUGUGUCUGUGAGUCAUUCAGUGGAAUUUAUUUAUUUUCACCUAAUUUUUUUGUCAUUUUUCCUGAUCUACACUAAAAUAUGUAUCCGUGAGUCAUUCAAUGAAAUGUAAUUUCUAUACUUACCUCGGUUGCCCCUUCCUCGAAACUGAGUAAUUUUUGUGAUCUCCCUCAUAUACUUGCUUCUUUGGCUUUUGUCUUGCUUUAGGCUCGUCUUUUUAUCCUCUUCUUGUCCUCCAAGGUACCUUGGAGCAGCCCGUACUAGCUUUUAGCCAACAUCCUUUGGAGCAUCAUCUAAUGACUCCUCAUUCUCGAACUUGUCCUUCCAUUCAGACCGUGUCACAUUGCCUCUAUCCGAGUUGUGUCUGCAUUGCCCCUGUCUUAGACCUUAAGGUAUCAAUGGAGAGUUUCUUCCUUCCCCUGGGAGCCAUGAGUGAUGCCUCCUUAUGAGUUUUGCAUUGCUCGAAAGUAACCUGCAACCUUCUGACAUACUAGAGUAUUUGCUCAAUGCUCAUAUUAUUGAGAUCCGCCUAAUUGACCAUUGAAAGCGUAUUUUUUCCACUGCCAUUGGUGGAAGAAAUAAUGGCGUCUUCGUUGGUAGCAACCUUUGCAGCAGCUCGUGAAUUGUCGGCCAUUUUGAGAGAUAAAAAAGAGAUUUAUUUUUAAGAGAGAGAGGAUAAAAGAUCGGUUUUAAUCCAAAUGAACAGAGAGAAUUCAAUAGAUUUUCUGACAACGGAACCAAAUGAUGUUAUUGAAACUAAAAUGAUGAUGUGGUAGAAAUGGAGAUGUGUUGUGAUUGAUUAAUCCUGCAAGACAAAGAAAGUGAGGUAGUGAGUGCUCAUGACAUCUACUCUGACGCUCAAAAUAGUAAAUUGAAGAAAAUAGUGAAUGAAGAACUUGAGAGUAUUUCUAUGGGAGAAUAGCGAUCUUUCGUCUCUAUGACCGUUCCCUUUUUAUACUGUAAGAAGAUGUGGAUAAAUAUAACAUUUUUUUAUCAUCCGAUAAUGAUGUACCCGGCUUGUUGGUAAGAAAAUUUCACUAGCUACUUGAUCGAAAAUCCUGUAAUCACAGGCGUAAAGGAGAUUUGCCUAUUAAAGGUAAUUUGCUUAUAGAGUCUCGUCCUAAAGUUAAGAGAGCGAAUCUAUUCGACCUGAGACCAAUCUGUUCUGAAACGCUCAAAUUUUUUUUCUCUCGUCGUCCGAUCUUUUCUUUUUACAAGUGAAAAUGCGUAUUAAUUUAUUAAAUUUUUAUCACUUUAUUCUGUUUUAUGAUAACAUGUUACUGCCUAUUUUAGACAAUUAUUAUAUAAUAUCAAUUAUAAUAUUUUAAUUUUUCAAAAAUUUUUAUAUUAUUUUUCUAUUUGCUAUUAUCAUUAUUUUUAUACUAUAAAUAAGUGUGGUUAGUCCGUACAGUGAAAUCGCAAUUAAUUUCACUGAGAAUAAUUUAUUAAUUUUAAAUCCGCUGCAUGUCAUUGAUAUAGAUCGUAGAGAGUUUUGCAAAAGAAACAUGAGUCUAUUUUUUUUCCUUAAUUUUUUGUAUUAUUAUUUAUAAAUUUUAAAAUUAAAUUUUACUAUAAUCAUAUUGAAUUAGUUGAUUGUAACUUAUUUUAUGUUAUACAGAUUUUAAAUUUAAAUAAAUAAUUUGUAUGUUUCUAAAUUACCAUUAUUUAUAAUUUUUUACUUAUAAAUCCUUAUACCAUCAAAUUCAUUGUUUUCAAUAUUUUUUUUUAUAAUUAUAUUAACUAAUUGAUUGUAAUUAAUUUAAUAUUAUUUUGCGACUUAUUUAUUUACAUUUUUAUUUGGUUAUUCUAUUUAAAGUUAAUAUUUUUAUUUUAUAUAUUAUAUUAUAUUAAUUUCUAUUUUUAUUUUUUAUAUUGUAAAAACAUUCAUUGAUUUAACCGUGCGAAAGAAAGGAAAAGCAUUUAGGCAAAGCCCACUAAUAUUAAUUGAUCCAGGAAAUACCCAAUCCCAAUCCCAAUCCCAAUCCCAGGCGUGAUAAGAAAAGCAUUGCCAUUGCAAUAAUUAAUUUUUGAAUUAUGUCAGAUAAUAACUUACUUAGUUAAGCCCACAUGAGAAAUUAACAAAACAUCACUCAUUCAUAAUUAAUUUUCAACUUACACGCAACAUGCUUAAUUUGACAAAUUUAAGUCGUAUAAUUAUAAUAUAAUAAUUUUUACUAGUGCUACGGAAUUAUAUUAUGGGAUUAAACACACGAGAAUAUUAAAUAUAAUUUUAUUUUAAACUCAACAUAUAAGCAUUAAUAAUAAUAAUAAUAAUAAUAAUAAUAAAUUAAAAAUAUAUUAUUGACGAUGGAACUUAAAUUGUUGAAAAACCGUGUUCAUACAUUUAUAAUAUAUGAAUGUGAAGUAGGCUAGGCUCCAAACAAAACUUCCAACCCACAAAUAUUAUUAUAAUUUAUAAUUAAAGGCGGCAAUUGUUUAGACUUUUUCUUUGUCUACACUUCCUUGGCCGACGAUUUCAAAUUGCUCUGCGUUUGAUUUACUCUUUUUUUUUUUUUUUUACAAUAUUUUCAGUGCCUUCAGUCCAUGUUUACAUUUCUUUUGUCUAGACGGUACAAAUGUCUUAUUUUUCGAUUUAUAAAACAAAGUUAUUUCUUUUCUACCAUGCUUGCAAAAAUAGGGUUCCGGUAGCUUUCGUUUAAAUAAAAAAAAAAUUGAACAAAUUAAAGCUAAUUUAAUUUAAAAUUCAUUUUUUAUAUAUGUUUUAUCCCAAUAAAAAGGGGAGAAACCUCUUGUUUGCUAAUAACUGUUCCCAAUAAUGAAUCCUUCAAUCACCUCCCUUGACUCUCACAAGCUUAUAUUUAUUGUUUCAGAAGUUAUUUUAUUUAAAAUUGCCUAUUCAAUAUUAGUUUUUUUUUUUUAAAUAUUCUUAUAUCUAUUAAACAAAAUUUAAGUGCUUUUUUACAAUUUUUAAAAUUCACCUUAUUAUUAUAUUUCCAUCUCUUACUUAUUUUAAUUUAUAGUGAUAAACUAAUAGUAAGAAUUAUCAAAAAUUGAGUAAUUAUAUAAGAUAAAUGGCAAUUUAGUUAAAUUAAUAAAUACUUCUCGAUAAGUUAAGCAAUUUAAUUGCUUUCUUUAUAAUUAUGUAAAAAUUUUAAAUGCCAAGAUGGUGGAAAUGUCAAAUAUGAUUUAAAAAUUAAAAAAUGUGAUACAUAUAUAUAUAUAUAUAUAUAUAUAUAAUGUAAAAUAAUAAUUUUAAUUAUUUCAUUAUAAUUAUAUAUAAAUGGAAAAAGGAGUGAUCGAAUGAUGAAGGUAUAUAAUAAAAGAAUUUGAGACAACAGUGGAAAAUGUCUCCCGCUUUCCACGGGAGGGAAGAAAAACCGGAGGAUGGGUUUUCAACAGCCACGUGGCGGAAUGUGAUGAAAAGGCUGGUCAAUAAAUCCGUUUUUGAAAAGGUCGAAGCAACUGGUGCAAGACUGCAAGCUGCUCAGUUUUAUUUAUUAUUGUUGGACUGAGAAUAGAAUUAAUUAUUAAAUUUAUAUUUUUUAGUUUAAUAAUUUUACUUUAACAGCGAUAGCCAUGUAAUAUAAAUAUUAAUUUAUAGAGAAAAANNNNNNNNNNNNNNNNNNNNNNNNNNNNNNNNNNAAAAAACUUCACCUGCUUCCUUACUCAUAAAAAUUAGGUAAAAAAAAAAAAAAUUUCCUCCCAUCUCCAGAACUGAUCCUGUGCUCUUGUUCUUUCCUAUCUAACUUACAACCCAUCUAUUUGUCUUGCCUUUUGUUUUUUGAAUAACCAAAUUUAUAAACCCUAAAUUUUCUUAUUAAAUUAAUGUUAAUGUAUUUAUAAUAGUCCAAUUUAAAUUGAUUAAAAUAAAAUUUAAAUAUAUUUUUUAUAUGACUUAAAAUAAUUAAUUUAAAUUAUUUAAUAAUUUUUAAUUUGUUAAUAUAUACAAUUUUAAAUUUUUAUAAAAAAUCGAUAUGAAAUAUUUCAAUACUAGUUAAAUAAUGCAUGAAUUAAAUAGUUUGUUUAUAUUGAUUGCAGCAAUUAAAUAUUAUCUAAUAGGAAAUUACAUAUUAUAUUUUAAUAAAGGAUCCUAGUCCCAGAUCUUUUGCUAUAUAUAUUUUUCAAUUUAUCUUUGGUUAUCUGUUGCUGUGAAUAUCUUAAUUAGACUGAUUUUGAUAAUUGAAUUUCCCUUUAUAAGAGAGAUCCAAUUUAUAAAGUUAGUUGUUAAAACAGUUGUUGGCAUUAAAAAUCAUGUUAGUUUAAUUUAUUAAUUAGUCGAAUCUUAUUUCAAAUUAGAAUACAUGAUGAUUAAAUAUUUUGCUAUAUAUAUUUUUUAAUUUAUCUUCAGUUAUCUAUUGCUGUGAAUGUCUUAACUAGACUGAUUUUGAUAAUUGAAUUUCUCUUUAUAAGAGGGAUCCGAUUUAUAAAGUUAGUUAUUAAAACAGUUGUUGGCAUUAAAAAUUAUGUUAGUUUGAUUUAUUAAUUACUCGAAUCUUAUUUCAAACUAGAAUACAUGAGGUAUGAUUAUUAAAUCACAUCAUCAAAUAUAAUACUAUAUAUUAUUAUUGUCCACCAUUAUUAUUGCUAUAAUCACUAUAUAUUAUUUUAUUAUUAUUAUUAUUAUUAUAAAUAAAUAAAAUUUAUAAUACUAUCUAUAUUUAUUUUUUAUAUUUAAAAUUAAAAAAAUAAUUAAUUUCAUACAUAUAUUUUUAUAAAAUAUAAAUAAAAAAAAUGAUAUAACAUCUAUAUAUUUAAUUUGGUGGUAAAUAUAUUUAAAUAAAUAUAAAAAGUUUAAGUUUCUAUUCUCUUAAUUCCUGAUUUCUAUUUUAAAAAAAAUGAUACAAUUCAUCUCAACUUGCCUUUUUAGCGCCUAAGGAAACAACCGAAUGAGAUGGAUUGUUUUGUCGAAAUUAGGUUAAAAUUUGGGUCGUGGGAUUGAAGAUGAUGACGUGUAAUCCACAGAAGAGCAGGGCGAGCUAGGUGAUUGAAUUUUGAGCACCAUAAACAUGGACCUGAAAGAAAAGCCUACCAUGUUCCUGAAUUUCUGUUGGAUGAAUUGAUGUCUGUUUCUGCCCCACCACAUACAUAAGCUACUAACUUUAAUAUAUAUAAUAUUAAAAUGGUUGAUGGGUGGUCUACAUUUCAUUAAUGUAGAGUUAGUGGAUUCUCUUUCAAAUUAGGGUUUGAUAAAUAGUGUGGGCGAGUGGAGAGGCAGCACGUUGAGACAUUUGUUUUUAUUGGUGUUAUUAGAUGAGGAUUAUUUUAAUUAGAAUGACAAUAAUUAUUGAACAAAAGGAAGGGGUCCAUCAAUAUUUCAACUUUAGCUAUAAAAUAUUGCAUCUAUAUUUACUAAUAAUUUUAAAUUUAUUAACCAUGACACGUGAAUCCAUGUGAAGGUGGCCCUCUAUGUUGAGUGUGAGCAGAAAUUAUCUUAAAGGAGAUAAUUAUAUAAAUCUAAUUUUUAUUGAUGAUGCUACAUUAAUUACUACUAGUAAGGCUGAUCAGAAUUUUUCUUUAUUAUCAUUAAAUUAUUAAGUUAAUUUAGACGCAGCAAUGCGACAAAUAGGCUUAGACUAAAGAUUAAUAAUUAAAUUACAUCGAUUGACAUCUAAGUGGGACACGAAACUUGAGAUCCCAAGUUGAGUUUCGUCCUUUGGAGAUGAUGAAGCUAAUGAGAAAAGAUGAAGAAGAAGAAUAAAUAAAUAAAUAAAAGGAGUGGAUGGGGUGAAGUGAGCAAUGAUGAACGUACAUGGUUAAAGGGGUUUCCUACUUAUAUUAUAUACAGAAAUAUUCCAAUUAAUUGCCAUAAUUACACAAGGAAAUUAACCUUCUUCAAAUUUGCAUAACCAUAUUGGCAAUUGAUUAGUAUAUAGUUAACUGGCCUAAUCAUAUUGUUAGCAUUAUUGAUCUCACAAUCUGAGAUUAUAUUUAAUUAUAAAAUAAAUGGCUAUAUAUACAAUCGAUUUUGUCUUGGGCCACCGUUGUGGUUACAAUAUUAUAUAUGUGUUUUUUAAAUGUCAAAAAAAUUAAUAAUCAAAUGAUAUAUAAAGAUCAGAAUCAUUUCAACAUUUAAAACAAGUCAACUUUCGCAGGGACAUUGAGAAAUGCGACAUAAAUUCUUGAGUUUACUCAGUUCUGGAAAUGGCAGUAAGCUUAUAUGAUCUUUGUUAUCAAGACAAUUGAGAAGCAAGCUUCUGAAUCAAUUACCAUUUCUUUUUUACUAUGGACUGUAAUCAGCAAUUCAAAUGUUAAAAAUGUUACUUUGAUCUCAUAAAAAGAAAUAUAUAGUUAUGUUUUAUAUUUAAAAAAUAUAGUUAAUAUAAUUAAAUAAAUUAUUAUAUUUUCUAUUAUGGCUUCCACUUAAAUUAUUUAUUAAUUAAAAUUAAUAUAUUUUAUUUUUUGAAUUUAUAUUAAACAGUAGCAUAGAUAAAUAUUAUGUAAAAAGAAAAUAGAUUUAUCUUUUUAAUAUUAGAAAUCGAAGAUCGGAAGAGUAGAAUCUGAAAUCUCUCAUUUGCUUAAAUGCACUUACCAUUCUCGAAUUAAGUCUGUGAGUGCAAAAUAAAAGAAAAUAGAUUUAUAAUUUAAACGGAUAAAAGAAAUGGUAUUAAAUAUAUUUUAAAUAUGGUGCAAAAUAAUUAAGGGGAUGUUUUAAUUGUUUUUUCAUAUGACAUGACCAAGGGUUUACAAAUGAGUAAUGCUUUAGGAAUUAAGUUAAUUUACAUUUAUUCUCAUAAAUAUGAUAAUUAUUAAUAUUAUUUUAUAUCAAUAAUAGUAAUUAAUUAAAACAAAACGUUACGAAAAGGCAAAAAAAAAUUAUUUUUGAAUUUUGAGAUAUGAUCUACUUGAUAUCAUAUGAAAAAAUGAAAAUCACAAAUGAUUUAAAUUUUAGUUUAUUUUUGUCAUGGGGACACAUAAUGUUUAUUCCCAAGAAGAAAAAAAAUAUUAAAUCUCGAAGCAAGAGUCGAUUAAUUAUGCCUAGAAAAUCAUUCUCCUCCAUUAUGAACAGAGUAUUUCCCCAUUCUGCCACCAGAUUUGUCAUCCAAGAGAAAGAAAAAAAAAAAAAAAAAAAAAAUUCUAUGAGCCAUUCUCUAAGGGACAGAUCUUGCUCAUUAAGAGGCUCCCACACGAUGACACGAGGAUUGGAGGACAAAUAGGGAGAAGAGCCAGAGCCAUGCUGCAAAUGGAGGAAGCUGUUUUGCCUUGAGCAAACAUGUGGGGGCUAUGGAAUGCCCUAGCACUCUCCCACAUUAUCUUCCAAUUUGGCCAAAAUUAAUUGCCUUAUACAAUCCCCUCUGGUGAUGUAAACGGGUAGGGUACCCGCAAAAUUGAGGAUAUCCAAACCCGAAUUCGAUUAUAUAUAUAAUUUUCAAAUCCGUCUCAAAUUCAUUUAAUAUUUUAAUUUUAUUAUCCGAACCCGUCCCAAAUCCGUUUAACAAUACCCGCACAAUACCCGAACUCGAUUUUUUAAAUUCAAUAAACUAGCAAAUAAACUUCUUAAUAUUUGCACAAUCCAGCAAACCCAACAGUAAAAUGAGAAAUGUUCAAUGACAAGAACCAGCAACUCAGCAGCAACCCUGCAUAUAAUGAUUUAUAAUCAUUAAUUGUUCAUAAAUUCUAAAAAUCAACAGUAUUACAUUAAUCAAAUAUAAUCAAUUUAAUGACAAAAAUUACCAAAUAAACUACCUAACAGUGGAAGGAAAAAUGUUCAAUGUUAAGAAACAGCAAAUCCAACAACCCAGCAGACCCGGCAGACCCGGCAGACCCGGCAGACCCGGCAGACCCGGCAGACCCGGCAGACCCGGCAGACCCAGCAGACCCAGCAGUAGAAGGAGUAGAAGGAGAAAUGUUCAAUGACAAGAAAUAGCAGUAGAAGGAGAGGGAAGAGUUGUCUCCCACUUACCAGUCGGCGAUGCCGCCGCUGGAGAGAGAGAAGAGAUAUCGCUGACCGGGGAGAAAGAAGAUUUAUCGUCGAAUGGGGAGAGAAAGGAGACGUCGCCGGUGCCGACUGCCAGCACUCGUAGUGAAGCCCGGCAGACCCAGCAGACCCGGCAGACCCGGCAGACCCAGCAGACCCAGCAGUAGAAGGAGUAGAAGGAGAAAUGUUCAAUGACAAGAAAUAGCAGUAGAAGGAGAGGGAAGAGUUGUCUCCCACUUACCAGUCGGCGAUGCCGCCGCUGGAGAGAGAGAAGAGAUAUCGCUGACCGGGGAGAGAGAAGAUUUAUCGUCGAAUGGGGAGAGAAAGGAGACGUCGCCGGUGCCGACUGCCAGCACUCGUAGUGAAGUGGGGGAGAGAGGCCUUGACUGGAAAGUGGGAGAUGUUGCCGACAGGAGAGAGAGAAGGAGAUAUCGCACUGUAGAGAGAGAAGAUUUAUCGGGGAGAGAAAGGAGACGUAGCCGGUACCGACUGGGCUGCCGACAGUUGUCAGUGAAGUGGGGGAGAGGUGUCGACGAAGAGAGGAAAGGGACGCAGGGGAGAGAGGCGCGAGAGGAAAGGAACGCGAGAGUCGUCGACAAAGAGAGGAAAGGGACGCAAGGGAGAGAGGCGCCGACGGAGAGAGAAAAGAGUAAAAUGAAAAAGGAAAUUAGGGUUAGUUUGUUAAUAUAGGUAAUCGGGUUAGGGUAACGGUAUCCGAUUACCUAAUUCCGAACCCUACUCGAAUCCGAAACGGGUAAAAUUUUUUAAAUCUGAAUCCGCUCAAAUCCGUUUUGUAAAAACCCAAAUCCGUCCUAAUAAGGUUUGGGCGAAUUGGGUACCUGUAAAAACCUGCCCGCCUGACAUCCCUAAUCCCCUCUCUAAAUAAUCCUCUUUCUUUCUUUUUAUUAUUAUAUAUAUAUACUAAAACAAAUAUUAAAAUUAGCUUUUACAUUAAUGUUAAUUAAUUUAACUGAUAUAAAAAUUAAUAUAUAGUAAUAAAUACCGUGAUAUAUGAAAAUAUAAUAAUAAUAAUAAUAAUAAUAAUAAUUGUGAAAGUUAAUAAAAUAAAAUUUAUUGUUGCCGUUAAUUUUUUUUUAAUAAUUGCAAUUACAAUUUUAUUACAAAAUAUAUAUAAUUAUAAUUUUAGAGCACCAAUAUCCAAUAAUUUAUAAUAAAUUUUAUAUUUUUUAAUAGCAAAAACUUUUACUCUCAAAUUUCGUAUCCCAUUACACAUCUGCAUUCUGCUCACAUGUAAUUUCCUUGAAGAAAGCCUGGAAUACUAAUAAAGAGUAUCUUCAAUAUUUUUGUUUAAUGUUUCCCCAUUAUUUAUAACAUUUUGGUGUCUAGCAGCCAGUUUCUAUAUUUAAAUUGAGUUGCAAUGUGAUAUGUCAGUAAUAAAAUUAAAUUCCCACUAUUUUCUAUAUCAAAGAACAAAGAGAAAAUCCGUUCGUGCAUAAAAAAAAAAAGAGAGAAAAGCCAGAACAUGUUUUACUAAACAUUAAAAAUAUAUAUAUAUACACACACUUAAACUCUAUUUCUAUUGAGCAAAAGAACCAUCAUGAAUAAUUUGUUAGUGUUUAAGGGAAAAAAAAAUUAAUAUAAAAUAUAGGAUACUGUAUCCUUUUUUAUAUAAAUAAAUAACACAAAUCUUUUUGUUGAAAACUCCGCAACAACUCCAUUAUGCAAUUCUAAAGAAAUUAGACCAUUCGUUCCAAACAUAUUAAUUCCUUUACUAACUCUGGUUAAAACAUGCUCAGCAUUAAAGAUCUCAAAUUAGAUGAUAAAAUCAUGUACUGAUAUUAAUAUUUUAAAAAAUUCAAUACCCACUAUCUUUAGUGUAAAUUGAGAAGCAAUCUUAAAUUUUAAAACAAAUUAAUGGUGGUAGAUAGGAAGAACUCAAAACUUGUACAAGAAUUCUAUCAGCAUCUUCUAUAUCUCCCAAGUCCAGUCCAUCAUAUAAACCGUAACACAGAUUGUAACAUCAGUCUAAAUAUACAAAAAAGAAUCAGAGUAAAAUAUGGGGGAAACACUAGAAGAGGAAAUUAAUAAAUAAUAAUAAUAAAAAACAGGAAGUUGAGACUCAAUUAAGAAAGCAGAAGGCAUCCUUUUUUUUUUUUUUUUUAUUGCAAACAGAAGGGGGAGAAAAGAGAAAAGGUAAAACCAAAUUUUAAUUAAUAUACAUUCACAACCAUGAUUUUAUCUUCUACUAUGAUUUUAAUCCCUACCUUUGAGUACAACACAAUAGAAAGAUCUUGAAAAUCUCUUGUUUAUCUCCUCUACUUAGUAAGGCGGCCGCGCAUGAGCCCAAGCAUAGGCAUCGUGCCCUAACUGACCUCCAUUAGGGAUUAGAUUCGGCGGCAGAUUAUAAACCGGCAUCGCAGAGGGAUCUGGCAGCCCAGCUUGUCCUCCGCUGCCUCCAAUAGGUGGCGGUGAGUUACUAGACCCACCCUGGAUCUGUCCCUGCCCUCCACUACCAGCUUCCUCGUCAUCCUCUAAUGGCAAUCUUUCAUAAGUGGCAUUAGCAAAUGUUGCUGCAAUUACCAUCACUGGCCCUGCCGCUACCAGUGAGCCCACCACACUUCCUCCGACUACUUGCCCUUGUCCGCCAGCUAGGUACACGGUAAGCCCGGUGGAACCAGGUGGGGCAGGUCCAGGCAAAAAAGCCCCUGUUAAGGACAAGAUCUCAAACCUUCCAUGAAGUGCCACUACGGCUCCAGGUGCUGCAGGCUGUCUUAGGGUUACGUUGGCCACUGAGCCACUGCCACUAAGUACACAGACUCCCCGUUGACGCCUUCUGGCAAACUGUGCUACGCUUUCAGCUAUAUCAGCUCCGCCAACAACUUCCAUGACAUGGCUGCGCAGGGCGUUAGGGCUGUCGCGAGUGACAAAAAUGGGUGGUUUUGGUUUGUUUUUAGAUCCAGGAGGGCGACCUCGGGGUCUUCGAGUACCAAUUUCAACAGCACCCUCUUUAGGUUCAUCGCCUGUGUCUUUAUCUUCAUCAUCGCCGCUCCUGUUACUGGUUUCGUUGAUGGAGAGUUCUCCCUUAUUAAGAGAAGAUGAAUUCGAUGAAGGAUCGAGGCCUGCCAGGCCAAUAUGACCGGUCCACCAAGGAUUAGCCAGGGUUACAAAUCGAGAGAAAACGAUUGGAGAAGUAGAGAGGCGAGGCUUAAUUUGGGUUCUGGCAAAGGUUGAACUUUGGAUUGUUAUUUUGUUCCCUUUUGUAAAAGGUUUCAAAUCAGAGAGUCAAAGCAAUGAACAGUAAGAAAACGAAGAAUAGUUUGCCUUCUCAAUAGGGUUCUUGUGUAGGCUGCUAUGCUCUGAGUCUUUCACAUAUUUUGAUGAUGAAGAGAGGGACGAGAGGUUGUGACGAGAGAGAAUUAGAUGCAAUUUCUAAUAUGGAAUCAAGUAAAGAGAAGAAAAGAAAGAAAAGAGGCCUUUCACAAGCUAAGAGUAGUACGAAAGAUCAACGACCCAGAAGUGAUCUCAAUAGAAAGAACAAAGAACAUAUGCAAAUCCCAUAAUAGAAUCAAUUGAGCAGAGAGAGAGAAUAAUAAACAAAGCACAGAGAGAAAUGAAAAGUUAAUGAAGAUACAAAAGAAGAAAAAUCCUCUCUUUCACUCUCGAGACAACAAUGGAUCAAAUGUCUAAAUUUCUAAGUAACUUUCAUUGAAUGUUGGCUUGUGUUUUGUGUUUUGUGUAUGUAUUGCGUNNNNNNNNNNNNNNNNNNNNNNNNNNNNNNNNNNNNNNGUUUUACUUUGUAGGCACUACUUAAAGCCACAACAACAUAUAAGCUCUUCUUUUAGAGGUCAUUGAAAUUAGGGUUUCGUGGGGUAGCGUGCGCGUGGACAAAUGCGGGGGCAUGUCGUUUUCUCGUGCCCCAACUCGACAAUUCAAUAGAGAAAGAGAAAGAGACCCAUUUGAUGGACGGACUAUCUUCGGCCUUUCAGCAUCGCCAUUGUAGCUUCUUCUUCUCAUAACCUUUUCCUUCCUCUUUAUUUGUCUUAUUAAUUUCCACUUUUUUUGGGCCCUUCCAUGUAAAAGACUUAUUGGUGGAUGUUCAAACCCUAGCUAACUAUAUAACUCAACAAAGGGAUAAUGAUGUAUGCUUUCUUCUUUCUUAUGAAUGUAAGAAAUAAUUUCUUCCCUUUUCUCCCAUAAUUUUAUAUAAAUAUUUUUUACUAUAAAGAAAUUAUUUUACGCAAAAAGAUUAUUCCAAUUAAUAAUUGAUGAUAUCUUUUCUUUCAUAUUAAUUAGUAUUUUAUUAUGAAAAAUAAUGUCGAUAUAUAAGCAUAUGUCACUAAAAACAUUUAGGAAAGCAACUUAAUAAUUUACUGUAACUAAUAGCUUUUAUGAUUUUAAUUAAAUUAUAUUUAACUAUUGUUCUUGAUAUAUAAAAUCAUUAAUAAUGAUAAUUAUAUCUAUACUUUAUUAUUGAAAUAUACAUAAAAAAUAUUAAUUUAUUAUACAACUUGCAUAAGGAUUGAAAAUAUAAUUUUGAUUAUAAAUAUUCAAAUCUAUUUUUAUCAUAUAAGAUUAAUAUUAUCUAUUAUUUCUUAUAAUUAUGAAUAAUUUAUUAAUAUAAAAAUCUAAUUUAUUAAUUUUAAAAGGAUAAUACAGUAUUAAAAUCAAAUUAAAGUUACAGAAAUACUUUUUUUUUCAAAAUUAAUACAAAUUGCAAUAAAUAGAUGUUAGCUAUGUAUGAAUUGCAGUUAUGAGAGAGGUUUAUCAAAUAAGUUGGUCUAUUUAAAUAUUUAUUAGCAAUCAAUUACUAUCAAUAAAAUUGAAAUACUUUAAAAUGAAAAUAUAAUUCCAUUAAUUUUAAUGUAGUUAAAAAACAUUAAUCAAAUUGGAUAUCAAAGAAUAAAAUCAAAUUUAUGAAAAUGAUAUUAUUUUGAUUGGAAAAUUAUAUUAUAUCAAUUUUUUUUUACUUGAUAAGGGAGAAUUUUACUAUUCCCAACUUAAAAUUAAUUAUUUAAAGUUAUUUGAUGGUAAGGUUUGAAGUUGGAGUUUCAAUAAUAUAAAAUUUAAUAUUUAAAUUAAUUUUACCACGAAAUAUGAAAAUAUGCAAAUAUUCAAGGUCAAGGACCUUUUUUAAAAAAAAAAAUUAUACAAAAUUAUCAUUAUUUAACUUAUUUAUAUAUAAUAAAAAUUUUAGCUACUAUUUACCAUAGCAGUUCCAAAAUUAAAGUUUUAUUUAAUUAAAGAAUUUAUACUACACUUAAUAAAGUUGUUCAUAAUUUAUUAAUGACAUUUUUAUUACGUGCUAGUCUCUUGUUGCUAGAAGAAGCUUCCAACCUUCUUUGUAUUUAAUAUUUUUGUAUUAAUUUUUUUUUAAUAAUUUAGAUAUUAUAUAUAUAGUAGUGUUAUAAGUUAUAGGAAGUAAAUAUGUUAAUAUAAAAAGUAAAUAUUGAUAGAUGAAUCAGUUGUUUAAUCUUAGGAAUUGUAUAAUCACAGAUUUGAUUUUGCUUUUUGUUUAGAUACCGUCUCUCAUGUAUAAAUAGAUUGUAAUUUCUAUUGUAAAAUACAACAAAUAUUAUCUUUGUACAUGGUUUCAAAACCUCACCUAUAGAGAUUUAAAUUUUAUUUGGAGAGUUAGAACUCUAUUCAUUUGGGUUACCCACAUAGGAUAACAUUUGGAGAUUUAGAUCUCUGUGUUCAUUUGGUUUACCAAUAAAUGGCAACAUUUGGAGAUUUAGGCAUCCUUUCAUUUAGGUUACCAAUAAAAGGUAACAUUUGGAGACUAAGGAUUCUACUCAUUUGGAUUACCCAUAAAGAGUAAUAUUUGAAAACUUAGAGUUCUAUUUAUUUGGGUUAUCCAUAAAAUGUAAUAUUUAGAUAUUUAGGGCUUGUUCAUUUGGAUUACCCAUAAAAGAUAACAUUUGGAGACUUAGGACUCUAUUCACGGCUACUGUUCACCGGGUAUUGUUCACGAGUACUCUUCACGUGUACUAUUCACAGGUACUGUUUUUCUUAUCUUUUGUUUAUUUUGAUUAUUUUGAGUUGAUUAUCUUUAUGACUGAAGUUAAAACCACCAUGUGAUUCUUGUGAUAAUUAAAAUUACGGAACACAAAUUCAAUAGAUCUAAUUUUUUGGAUUAGAGUAAAACUAUCCAUAUUUAAUUACGAAAUAUUGAAAUGGAUGAUCAUCUUACCAAGGAUCUUCCAACUGAUGAAACUCGUAGAGAUUGGAUGAGGGAUGAUGUUCGUUUGUUUCUGUAGAUUCGAAAGUCUAUUCAUAGUGAGGUGAUUAGUCUUGUUAAUCACUGUGAAUUUGUUAAAAAAUUAAUGGAGUAUUUAGAAUUUCUAUAUUCUGGCAAAAGGAUUUGGCUGAAUCUGAAUAUUGAGUCAUGGCACAAGUCGUUUGUGAAGUAUUGUGGGUACGUCAACUAUUGAAAGAAGUUGAGUUCAUAAAUUCGGUGUAUAUCUUCACUAAAUCUCUAAAUAGAACUCGAAUUGAUUAUAUAUAUAAUAAGUUGGGCAUGAUUAUUAAUCAUACUCUAAUUUAAAGAGGAGUGUUAUAGAUUAUAGGAAGUAAAUAUAUUAAUGCAAAAAGUAAAUAUUGUUAGAUGGGUCAGUUGCAUAAUGUUAGUGAUUGUAUAAUCACAAAUUUGAUUUUGCUUUUUAUUUAGAUAUUUUCUCUCAUAUAUAAAUAGAUUGUAAUCUCUAUUCUGAAAUAGAACAAAUAUCAUCAUUCUAUAAAUAGUAACCUAUUUAACAUCAAAGAAUAUUUACAAAAUAAUUUAUUAUGUGGAAAAAUUUUGUUUAUAGACACUUGUCUAUAAACAAAAUUUUUCAAAAUAUAAAUAAAUAAAUGAUUUUUUUAUAUAAAAUUAACUAGAAUCCAUUUAUUUAUAUUGAAUUCAUACUGUACUAAGUAUAAAUAAAAAUUACUCUUGUUAUCUCUUUUAAUAUUUGGUGUUUUUGGCACACACUUGUAAGAAAUCUCAAUUUAAAUCUGGGUAUAUAUGGGGAUGGACGAAUUUAAAAAAAAAAAAAAAAAAAAAAAAACUUUCACCAAUUGUUACAUAUGAUGAAUAGCUAAAAAGUUAGUAUUGUAGUCUCUAUCUUCAAACUUUAGUUUUUGUUUUUUUGAAAUGAAAAUUGAAAGACUAAAAUUUAAAACUCUCAAAUUUAUUCAAAUACACUUAUCAUCGGCUUAAGUUUAUCGGCUUAAGUUUACGAGUCCCUUCAAACUUUAAUUAAAAGAGUAAAAGUAUUGUAAAUAUAAAUUGGCAAAUUAGGGCAAGGUAAAUCACAAUUAUAUGUUGAAUCUAAGAAGAUUCUAAUUUGGCUUCUUCUUUCUCUAUCGAUAAUUGGAAAAAAUAAAAACAAUAUAAUUAUUGUAUGGUACAACCAGGAGAAAAACGAGCUAGCACUAGCAUCAAGAUUUUAACAGUUAGAUUGCAAAAUUGUUGAAUUGAUAUUCUUAAACCAACCGUUUUAAAUUAUUGUAUAAAGUUUUAAUUUUUUUUAUUAUAUACAACAAUAUAUUUUAAUAAUUAAUUUAUUUUAUAUUUAAUAAAAUUUUAAUAAUAAUUUUUAUCCGUUAUAAAAAAAAAUAAAUUAGUAUUUUAUGUUGAAAAUGAAGGUAAAUACCAUUUAUUGCCACAAUUACAUAUAUAAAAACUUGCUUAAAUUCAAUCUAAUAAUGUUGAGAAGGUGUUACGAUUUGGUUUGAACCUUCAUAUUCUCUAUUUCUAAUUGAAACAAAUAAUUAAAGUAAACAUAUUUAUUUUUAUUUUAAUUGAGUGAUACAACAUAUAUAUAUUUUUUAAUAAUCAUAAAAUUACUUGAAGAGAAAAAUCUCAGUCCAGUUUUUACCUUACCUGCAGUUUAAUUUCCUAGGGGGAAAUUAGGCUAUAGCCUUGGUUUUGUUGAUUGUAGCUAUAUUUUCUUUUUUAUUGAUAAUAAUUAAGUCACUUAAUAUUAUAUUUUAUAUAUUUUUUAUGCAUUAGCUAGUAAGUAGUUUCUAAAAUUGUGAGAAACUUUAUAAUAUAAUUAUUAAAUGUAGAAUGUUAUUAUAAUUCUAAUUAUGAUUCUUCCCAUAUAAAUUUUAGCAUAAUUAAAAUUAAUAUAUAACUAUUGCGUAGAUAUAGAAGCAUUGAUUUUUUUUUCACUGACCUGCAAAUGGUUAACAGCUGAAAAGGGAAAUCAGCAUGAGAGUUGCAUUAUGCAGCACCUGCUUUUGGCUUUCUGAAAACCUGCGACGAUUUUAUUGGACUCCCACUCCCUAUAGCUUUUGGCUCCAUAUUAUAUUUAAUGAAAAUUAUUUAUUUAGACAAUUUAUAUUAUAUAGAUUUAAUUUACAACAAUUAUAACGGAUAUACGCAAAUAUGAAUAUAAAUGUAUUUAUAUUUUGAAUUCACAAACAUCAAAUUAAGAGACAUAUAUAUCAUCAGAUUUUUCUUUCUUUUUCUCUCUGUUCUUUUGUGAUUUGAUACGUUGACAACUUUGUAAAUUGAGCUCUCAAAAGUUUAUAUAUAGUCGGUGUAUAUAGAAAAUAAUAUAUUAAUAUUUCAUAUGUACAUGAUUUCCAAAAAAAAAUUAUGCUUACAUACAUAUAUAUGUGUGUGAAUUAUUUCAAAUAUAUUAUUUCUGUUAAAACAUAUACAGAUAUUACAUUAUAUGGCAAGUGACUUAAAAAGUUUAACUCGUAAAUGAUCAACUACAAUUACGAAAAUAAAUUAAAUUGCUUGANNNNNNNNNNNNNNNNNNNNNNNNNNNNNNNNNNNNNNNNNNNAUUAUAGAUUAUAUUUUAUACAUGUCUAACUUUUAUUGAAUUGUCAUUCUAUAACAGAUUGUCUAUAUGGAAUCACAGUCGAGGAUCGUAAGGUAUAAAGUGCAAACGAGUCAAAUGAAUCAAAAAAGAAAGGGAAAAGAAAUUGCACGGCCCUCACCAUUAAUCAGUUUGAGGUCUUUUACUUACCAGCUCUCAUGCGUGACUAUCACUCAAUGAGUAAAAUCUAGGGCAAGUUUUCUUUUUGUGCUGACCCAACCAGAUAUAGAGAACUUUCAUUCUUCAUCAACCGGUGCUAAAGAGCAAAGACAAUUAUGCUUGUUCCAAAAGCAAAAGCCAAUAGCAGUGUCAUAAAUUGAGUGAGAAAUAUGAGAUUAUAUCAUCAAAUGUGCAUCAUAGAUAUUUAAUAUAAAGCUAUGCAAAUCUAUAAACUAUGCAUCAUAGCAUACCCCCAAAACUGGCAUUCGUUCCAUCCUUUUAUAGACCCAAUAUCCUGUUAUCGCAGAUCAUACAAGUAAUAUUCCAGGAUCUUCCCACUUCAUCCAUCGAACAAGCUAAACUAAACUAAACUAAACUAAACUCAACUCCAAAAUUAACCAAUUAUGAGAAAAUUGGAUAUAUAGACUGGCCGGGCUUGGUAAACGACUGCUUAAGGUUAUUCAGCGUGUGAAGCUGAAUAUCCAAGGCAGCCAACUUUGCAGCAAAAGGCUCAUAAGAAAGGGAAAUCCAAUGAAAAUCAGACAGAUGGUAAAGCGGACGUAAUGUCACACGAUAAUGAGAGAUUGCUGGGAGGCGUUAUCGAGAUGGCAUAAAAGCAGGAAAGCUCUUGAAAGACGGAGCUAGUUUUUUUUACCUUCUUUCAUAAUCUUUCACCUAGAUUGGAAGGACUACAAUAGGACAUCUACAGGGGUUUAAGAUACCUACCUCCGUUGUGCACGAGUGCAAUGUUUUUACCAUCUCCUUUUCUAGCUGAUAGACCGUUUCGUACAAGAAAAGAACUCUGAUUCGCACCGGUGCAAGCUUACAAUCUAAUCUCCCUUUGCGAGUUUGAGAAUUUCACAAGACGGAUUAGUUCCUAUCUCAUCUUCACGCCUCCAUGACCAGUAUUUCGAGGUGUUAAAUGCACAGAUUCGAGGUGGUAGAAAUAGGCAUAAAGUGUAACUAAAUAUCAGAAUUCUGACAUCAUAAAGACUUGAUUACAGACCCCAAUGGCCUCCUUUACAUAGGAUUUUCAAUAUGGUAUUUUUCAACAAAUCCACAAUUGCUUACAUCACGUGUCACCCAACCACGUUUACUGCUAAAAUUUGCCCAUGUAAGGGUCCAGUCCACCUUCACUCAGAGCUCAUCCCGCAGCAUAUAUGCUACGAAGCAAACUUUCUUCUAUUCUCAACGCCAGGAUCAAGGCAAGUCGUGUAUGGGAAGAUUAAUAAAAGAGGUUCCACAAGUCUAUACUUGCACUUACCAAAAGAUCCUGCAGAACAAGACCAUAAUCAGAUAGUUAAUCCAGGCAUCAACAGAGUAGUGUUCCUCUUUUCCAGUGCAGGUUUCCUACACGAGUAUAUGCUACAAUGUGGUCGAACUUACAGCUUAGUUGAAACAAAACCACAAUAUUGAAAAAUAUACAGAUAUCAUAGGAGACUAGUAACUUAGCAUCAAGCAGUUGCUUUCAAUUAUUUGUAGUGUAGAAACAUUCUUACUGUUAUCAUAUUAACCAAUAGAAUUUUUAAGAAAUGGAACAAAAUUGCUUGUGUUCACAACCAUAAGGGGAUCAAAUACCUAAUAAGGUAAUAUAUAAUUAGAAAGGAAACAACAAAAACCCCAGCAAGUAUGCAUGUUCUCCGACCUGAUUUCUUCUCGAAUACCUACAUAACAAAAAAUCAAUAUUACACCACCUUUUCCAAGCAGCUAGGACAAAUAAAAAUAAAGAUAAGAUUUAAAAAAAAAAACAGAAGACUGCAUCUAGUUUACAUACCAUCUUGAAUCGAUCCAUGGUUCCUGACAUUAUACCCCUUGAUAUGUCCAUUUUGUUGCCCUGAGUUUACAGUAUAGUCUAAUCAAAUAAAGGGCCACAAGUUGUUUUCAGGACUGUUAGAUGAAGAAAAUACAUGCAAGCAUACCAUUCGAUCAAGCAAACGAUUAUGACUCUCCACUUCCUCAUGUAUGUCCCCUGUUAACUGCAUAUAAAAAUUAUACAUGUCAUAAGUUACUUAAAAAAUGAGAAUAGACAGUUAUGAUUACCAGAAAAUAAAGGCCGACAUUUUUAAAAUACUUUUUUUUCCACUCAGCAAAACAUUUAUAAUGCAUAAAACACAAACUAAUUUAAUUUCUGUUAAAUUUAGAAAUAUCACUUCUGGUAAUGCAAGUAAGAAUCAAUCAGAAUGAAAACACUUUUCAUACACAGGAAUGAUAUUCACAAGUGAGAUUUUGAGACAACUUAAGAGAAUUGAAGUAUGAAUGUACGGGAUCUAGAUGGAGAAGCAACUAGGAAGGAAGGUAUGUGCAUGGAACAAAUUUAGGGCCAGUUUUAACUGCUCCAGGCAUCAACUCAACAGAGAAUUUGAUAUGUAUUAUUUGGUUCGUGAUAAUUGUGAAAAUUCACUACACGCUUGACAGCAUGAGCAACCGCAGUUUUCAAAAACUAUAUAGAUAUGAAAUUUAUCUAAAUAUAGAGGAGGGAUUCAUGCACAAAGCAAACCCAAGUAGAGGUUUAAGGAUUACAAAAUGAAUAGCUUGAUGGAUAGAAAUGGCAAUUGAGGUCCCCAGCUUUCAAUACCUAUCAGAUCAACAAUGUGGGGUAUUUGAAGAUGGAUACUAUAGUGCAAAGCCCCAUCAAGACCAGCGAGAAGCCCUCAAUGGCAUCACAUGUGCAAAUUAAAUAACCAUGCAUAUCAUUUAUCAAAACUAUGGACUUAGUCAUACCUAUCACUGUGAACAUGUGAAGACACAUCUGCUAUUCCUCUAAAUAUGAUGCUUACAUUGUACUACAUGCUAUACAUCUGCAGUUUAUAAUACUCAAAUAUACAAUGGCAACAAGAUUUUUUAAAAACAUGUCGACAAAAGUAUUGCACAUAUCAUCUGAGCAGAAAGUAUAUUGUUGUAUAUAUUUCAGGAUUCUGCAAAGAACUUGACUACCCAAAUUGAAUGCCAAUUAAAAUUUAAAGCAAAGAACGGUCUCAAGUUUGAAACUUACUCUCUUCAAGAAAAUUACUCUGUCUUGCAAACUGUCAAUAGCUUUGUCAUUGUCGUGCUCAUUAAUACUAUGGGAAUAUGAAGAAGAGGCCCUAAGGCCGCCUUCUUCAAGGCCAUCAUCGAAUAUAGCUGACCUUGAAUUGCGGAUGUCCCUGCCAUGAUUUUGAAAGAUGGAUUAACAAACUAUAUAAAUGUCCAUUAGUUAUCGGGCUUGACACUCCACACAACUUAACGAGGGAUACACAUCUGUCUUCAGAUGUUGAAUUGAUUUCGAGAGGGAAAAAAGGAUCAGAUUUUCUAACCAUCAAAACAACGUAAUACAUUCAUGGCUGAAAUACAAAUUCAUAAUAAUCUAAAUCAAUAUCAGCUAAUUUCCUAAGUGGAAUGAUUAAAAAAAAAUCAGCACCAUGAGAUCAACCAAAAAAAAAAAAGAGAAUGAGCCUACUGCCUUCACCCAGCUAAAAGAAAAGCUUCAGUUAAACAUAUGAUGCUGAUGAAAGAUCUAAAUAAUGAAUUUAAACAUAAAUCAUAUAGUUGCCCUAGAACACGAUUACAAACAUAUUCGAUCCAUUCACUUGAACUAAUAAAACAAGAAUUGAUAUAAAUCAUAUUAACGACAAAGAGGAAGACUUGUAUUUAUGUAGAAUUGAAAACAUAAUGCGGCUUAUUAAAAAUGUGAUUUAACUAACCUUCUGUAACUCAUGGUAUGCGAGAAUAACCUAUUUCGUUUUCUGCUUCUGCAAAAGAAGUUUGGAUGUGGGUGUUUGGUUAAUGAGAAAGUGUAGGAAACGCAGUGCGAGACGCCGACGGCGGUUCCCUGAAUCGUGCUUCGGACUUGGAGAAAUGGAAGUGGGUUUAGAAAAAAGAAGUGGGACAUUAUAAGUCAAAGCCCAAUAAGGCCCAAGCAUUUCUACUUGUCACAUAUUUAUCAACUAUUUGUCCUGCUUUUAAUUAGAUGUAAUUAAAUGUUAUUUGUCCAAAUUGAAUCUUGGAAAAAAUUUACGAAUAAAAAUUAUAAGCAAAAUUUAAUGAAAUAAAAACAUCAAUUUAAAUAGGUAUAAUCACAUUUUAAAGGAUAAAAGUAUAAAAAAGUUUCUAAAUUUUUAAUCCAAUUAAUUAUUUUUAAUGCUAGCUACAAAAACUAUUUAAUACUAAAAGUAAUUAAUAAAAGAGAAAAAAAAUGAGGAUUUAAUAAUUUGAAGUUAUUUAUAUGAAUAAUAAUAAAAAUAUUAAAUAAUUAUUUGAGAAAGUGGAAGUGGAUGUAGGGGUAAUUGCCUCUGUGUUUCAAAGGCUGUAUUGAACAAGAAAACAAAAAAUAAUGGAAGAACUGAAGCUGAGCUUGGUCAUGUGAUCAUAUUUAUGAUUGGAGAGAGUUGAAGAAAGAGGGAACUCUUUAAUCCCAUUACUACAUAUGAAUAGCAUUUUUAUUAUUUAUUGAAGAAUAAUGUGUAUGUCUAUUUAUAUGUAUCCAACCACAAAAGGGGUCCAGGAAGCUCUUUUAUUAUCACACUCAAUGCUCUGUUCUACCACCUGUAAUCUUGGUUAAUGCCAUGUGACCACCUUUGGAUUUUGCACCUAUACAAAUCCACACUUAUGAAACUUGCAAUUCCUGAAAUUUCUUUUUUCUCUUUUGUCUAUCUCUAAUGCUGUAUUGCACUUGCGCUGUUGCACAUGAAAUGCUUGUUACGCACUAGCUGCUAGUAGAAAGAGGCCAACCAAAGAAGAAAGCAGAGCACCAUAUAGAAGUUGAUGUUAGACAUUACUAUAGAAGUUGGCCUCGCCGAGAAAAUGGCAGUUUUAGUGUGGUACUGUGAGAUACUAUAAGACAGUUCAGAUUUAAAAAAUACUUCUAAGUACACAUCCAUAACAAAAUACCAAAAAAUGCUCAAGCUAUUAGGUCUGCAAUUGCAGCUCUGAUGACGUGUCAAAUUCCCAAGUUGAUGCCCAGAGUUUUUUUUACAGACAUCCACUAUGAUUUGCUGCUGCAUGAGUCCAGUGCUUGACAUGAAGUUUUCUCUAGUAAUUUAGCAUACAUUGCACCAAAUGUUAUAAUUAAAGAGCACAAACACCUCUCCUUCUAGGUAUUAAGUUAAUGGAGUUAUUAAACUAACACAUAUUUUAAGCAGGGCCAGAUCAUAAUCACGUUUCACAAACAGGAAAUGCAAAAUGCUUAGCUGUAAAACAGUUUAACAAAAUGCAUCCCCAAUAAUAAUUUCAACCAUCUAAUACCUUGAGUUCCGACAAUUUGCAAAAAAAAAAUAAAUAAAUAAAUAAAUCAAUCAAGGGAACUUUUUACAAGCAAAAACUGAAAAUUGAAAACAAAUAUGCACAAAAAGAUACAUUGGUUUCCAUAAAUAAUUGAAUUUAUGUACUUCAAACGUCUAAACUUUCCAACAACCUGGCAGGAAAGUACAUUAAUCAAUUGGGGUUUUCAGUAAUACAAGUCAUCAGUGUGCAAAGCUAAGACAGUCAUCCUGUUGAACUGUAAUUUUUUGUCUUCAUACAAGUAUCAGGAGUUAACAACUACGCUUUACAAACUUUUUCAAGUAUAUAAUUCAGUAAUGAAAUUAAUCAACAAAAGCAGCUCGGCAUUGCAUUUGCCAUUGCAUGCAGUCUUCAAAAUCAAAGCUACUUGCACAGUCCAAUAGAGCAUUUUGCUGAUGUUCAUAACGACAUAUGUAAUUCAACCCAACAAGAAGCUCACAAAUAGCUGCUUCUGUCUUUUCCAUGUCAGCAAAAUACAACGUCUGAAGCAGCAGAACAUUUGUCCGCUUCACAAUUUGAUGCUGCUCAAAAUUACGCUCGCUUUGCCAUCUGAUCAUGUUAUGUGCCAAUGGAGCAAGCCACCUUAAAAUCCCAUCAAGAGUUUCUUUCCAAUCAUGAGCUAGUGGAGCAUCAUAUAUAGCCAGAUCCUUGACAUAAGACUUGAGAUGAGUCCUAAGAGACUUUCUUAAGCUCGUUGGUAACAUCUGAUACAAAUCGUCCCUGGCUUCCUCGCCAACUAAAUGGGGAUAACGAAGCAGCUUCUCUAUAACUAUGAUGACAUUUGCAUAACGCAUGGCAAGACCAGAUCCUCCCACAGUGGAAGGCGAAGCAUGCGCUGUUAACCUACUUUUGGGGCCGAGGCAGUCGUUCAUCAUACCACACCUAGCUUGUCUAUGAUCUCCACUGAAAGAGACACUACUUGGGAUCCGAUUAGACCCACCUGAAAGGUAUGGGUGUUCUCUCUUUGUGCCACCAUUAGCAACGCUGCAGCAGCCAGAAAUUUGGCUGCCUCUGUCUUCAUUCCCAAUAAUAUCAUCCUCAUCGUUAUCCAAUUUACAAGCUGAGCUACUCAAACUAAGGCAAUCCAUGAAUAGCUUUCCAGGACUCGUCACGCAUGGAAAAACGAUGUCUUCAGCCCGUAAUGAUGCUUCUUCACCUCUGUGUGAAUCAAUCCUGGACUUGAUACUUGUCUCCCUUUUCACCACAACUGGUCUCUCAAUUGGUCCAGAUUGGAAACCAUUACUGCUUCUCCUGCUAUAAGUCCGCUUCAGAUGGCUUGAAAUCAUUAUCUGACCUGAAGCCUCCCCGCAUUCAUCCUUCAUAGGAGGCGAAGAACCAAUAUCCCCAUUAGCCCCAAAGCUGUCCCUCCUUAAAGCAGAUUCCCCAAACACUACACAAAGCCUAGCAUAAAUAGUGCAAACUCUCCUAGCUAACAACUCUACAACCUUAUCAUAAGUCUGGUUCCAAAGCGAAAUCUCCUUAAGAUGCCUAACGUCCUGCUUCUGCCAAAUAAGUUUCUGCUCAAAAGCUCUGUGACUCUCCUCAUGCUGGUUCUGCUGGAACUUCUUGGUGGUCUGCUCCAGUUCAGCUAACACCUCCAUUUCAGCAUAUAAAUUAGAGGUUGCAUUGACGUACCUCUCCAUUUUCUUAACCAUCCCCUCCGCAUCCUUAACUAAAAAUCCCAACUGCUUCACAUCAAUGACUCCACUCACUAUAUCCCCAUAAACAUGCUCAAAACCCUGCAAAGCAGGCUCGGUACAUUUCUUGCCAAGCCUAGAAACAAUACUAGCGAUCCGACUGAGGUCAUCGAGUUUCUCAGCCAAAGCAAGCUGGAGAAGGUAAUCUUCAUCCGCGGAAACCAAGUUGUUAACUCCCACAGAUUUCAAGAUCUCGGCUUUAAGCUUUGAGACCUCAGAAUCAGUGAGGGAUUUAUGAAGAUGCAAAGUUUUAGACAUGACAUUAGCAACCUCAAAAGAAAGGAUGCCAAUAGUUUCUCUUUCUUUGGUGUCUGCUCUUUUUGUGUUCUUCUUCUUAUAAGGUUCGAGAAAGAGUGCGUGCUUAAGAUUGCUACUCACCUGGUUACCCAUCUUCAAUAUCCAAGCUUCAGCCACCAUUUCCGCUCUGAGUUACCCAAGAAAUGCUCCAGGAUCUGAAAGGCCUUCGGGUUUCAAAUUCUACCGCCCAAUUCAAAGAAAAGGACAAAUAGAAGUAGAGAGUGGAAACCAAUGGCAUACAUUAACAAGAGAUGCAUGAAAUGGAUUUCCCAAGUAGAGAAGAAGAAGAAGGAGGAGGAGAUGAAAUUGGAAGGCAGAGAGUGGAAGAGAGGUGAAGGAUGCGCAUGGGGAACAGAAUAGAAGGGCGUGGGUAGAGUUGAUUAUGGAACAGAGAAACAGAGAGAAAAGAGAGAAAUUGUUUUCGAUUGGAAAGAGAGCAGUGGGUUUUCCAAAACAAAUGGUGGGACUGGUGUGGUCUGCCGUGAAAUUUCAAUAUUUGUAAUCGUACUACGAUUUUUUUAAAAUAUUAAUUGGCCACAUGGUCCCCUCCAUCUCCAUCUGUAUAUAAUUUACAAAUUUAUUUAAUUCAAAAUUUCCGAUAGUGGUGGGAAUGAGAUUACUUUCGAGUCAAAAUAAGAGAAACUACCAAAAAGAGCACUUUGACUUUGGAAUCACUUAUCAAUUUAAGCCCUUGUUUGGAUAAUCUUCAGAGGAAAUAAAAUUAAGAGUAGGAGGUAAUGAAGGGAAAAAACGUAAUAGGAAAUUUGUUUUUCUCUAUUACUUUUAUUAGUAAUCGAAACAAAUAAUUGUAAGGAUUAAAAUGUUAUUUAUUUAUUUUUAUUCUAAGAGAAAAUGUUUUAUUAUUCUUCCAUAUUUGCUCUAACCUAUGUCUAUUUCAAUUUCAAUAAUAGUAAUAGCCUUGUCUGGAGUGGGUCAAAAUUUUCAAUAUGGUAGUUUGCUAACCAUUAACCAAUCCAAGGAUGUCACUUCACUGGUGAUUUCGAUGUGCAACAGUUUUCUUGCAGCACUCAAGUAUUCAACUUCAAUUAUUAACGUAGUUUUAGGUUUACCGGAUUCAUUUAUAACCACGAAAACCUUAUUCUAUUAAAUAUAAAUGGCCUUAAUCUUUUGUUUUAGUUAUAAAAAAAAAUAUUUCGAGAUCUGAAAAUUUAUUAAUCUUACUAAUUUAAAUUCAUACUAAUCAAAUUUUAAAAAUAUUCUAUAUAUUUAAAGUUCAAACUCAAUUAAUUGAAAAAUAAAAGAUUUAUAUAAUCAUAUCUCAUCUCAUUUGCUAUAUAUGAAAAGAGAAAAUAAGUUUUAUUAUUUAAUUAGAUUUCAUUAUUUAAUUUCAUUAAAGAAGGUACAUUUCGUCAAAAGAAAAACCGUAGUUGGAGUUGGUGAAUUGUUUUUUUUUUCCUCUUUUAAUAAGACAGCUUAAUUAAAAAAAUGAAAACAUUGAGACAGAUUAAGAGUCUAGACUAGAGCAGGUACAUGGACAAAUUUUAGGUACAUAAGAAAUUCAGAAACAACGUCGACGUAGUGACAAAGGAGGAUAAAACCAAACCCAUCUCCUAACUUUAUCUGGAUUAGUGAGAUAUGUUCACUGUAACUAAAAUCAAAAUCUGUGACCUUGGCUAGAUUACUAGAAUUUUUUUUUUUUUUUAUUUAAAAUUUUCAACUUUACACUUCUUAUCCACAUGCUUGAUAUGGUGCAUAUUCUAAACAUUUUACUAAAUUUUAGAAAGAAUAUAGGAAGGAUCACUUUCAAUUUGGCUAUUAAAUGUGGUAGUAAUUUUGGUCCAUCAUCUCUUUUCUUUUUCCACAUGCACAAGCACAAGGACAACGUAUAAUGAUGACCCUUUCAUCUCCAUCCCAACUUUUAUGGAAGAUGAAGAAGAAGAAGAAGAAGAAAGAAGUACAAUUUACAUAUACAUUAGUUGGUUUCGUUGAACUGAAUAUGCUCUUAAGCAGUAUUGGUUCAACUAAACAGCCAUUGCGUUUAGGAGUCUGAGGAUAAUGAAGGUGACCCUUUGGCAUGUAGUGCAUGUGGCAAUCACGUGGGGACCCCUUCAUCAAUCCACCCACCCACAUCAGAGAAACACAAUACGUAAUUCUUGCGUCUGGUGGGGGCCUAACUCCUAAAGAAAGAAAAAAAAAAAAAAAAGAGAGAGUGGGCGAAAAGUACCGGUUGAUGCUAACAAAUUCCCGCCAUGAUGCUGCACGUAGACGUAGGUUUGUGUUUGGACUCACAUUUGAGUGGAGAAUAUAUAAACAAGAUAAAAUAUUAAGAAAAGAGAGGAAGGGGUUGGGCCAUUCUAGGAUUUACGCAAUUUAUAAUAAAGCAUGUGGGUUGAUUUUCAAUUAUUUAUUUGUUAGUAAACUUUAGGCUUUAUGCCUAUCAAUAAUCAACCUUUCUUUUUUUGUAGUUGUUGUUUCUUCAAAGUUACGAGCUUUUGAAUUGAUGGAUGUGUUCUCAACUGGAGUCUAAAGUUGGCUGGGAAUAGGGAAUUUUGACCCCAGCCAAAGAGAUGAAUAGAAAAAGAAAAUAAUAGUAAGUAUGAUUUUUAAUUGGGUCAGAUGAAUGGCCCAUGUAGACCAAUCCAUGCAUCAUAGUCCACGGCCCAAUAAAAUAUAUGUUACUAUUGGAGGAUGGAUGUUUAUGUAUGUAUGUCGAAACUUCUAUAUAUUGCGAGAUCUGUGUGCAAAAUUUGACUCAAAGAGGUUGAUUUCGUUAGUUUUUGGUAGAGAUUUAUUUAAAAUAGAUGGUUCUAGACGCGCUAAAUAGUCAGAAAUAAGAAAUAUAUUCAUUCCGUGUGUAUAUAUAUAUAUAUAUAUAUGCUUGUGGAGGCUGACCUUUUAUUAUUAUAAUUAUUAUUAUUAUUAUUUAAUGUUUGAAUAAUCAAACUGUCAGAAACAUCUAUUUCUAGAAUCGAACCCUGGAGAAUAAAUGAGAUGUGUGUGGAACAGGGGUUUUCAUUUCAAUUUAUUAUGGACCAUCCUAAUAGCAAACUUUUGAUAAUCAUGGUUCCCAUUAGAGUUGAGCAAGAGGAAGAAUUUCUCUUCAAUAUAUUUGUUAUUAAAUUGUGGCAUUAAAAUAAGAUAUCAUAAUAACUAGAGAAGAAUUGAUAUUGAAUGAUCAUAUUAGAGAAGAUUUAUCUAUAAGCCGCAUGGAGUGGGGAUGAUCAAUGCACAGCCGGAAAGUGAAGGCCAUGUAUUUUUGUACCUCAAAGAAACCUAGUAAGGAGAUGGAGAAAUGUAAUGAGAAGGGUCACUAUGCAGAGAGAGAGAGAGGGAGAGAGAAUUUAAUGAGUGAAAGUUGACUAGAGUUGAAGAUAAGCGACAAGAGAAUACGGGGAAACGUAGUAUAGCGGUAAAAGAGAAAAUCCAAGGGUCCAACUGUGAAUGAUCUGUAAUCCAUAGGACUUUCUGUUUUGUGGGCUGUAAUUCGACAGCUGCGUCAUGGAAUCAAAAUUUUCUUCACAAUCACAAUCCUCUCCCUUCCCUUUAAUAAUCUGCUACACCUCCUCUUUCGUAUACACCAUAAACUCCUCUUCUCUUCUCUUCUGCUUUACAUUAUUAAUUUUAUUGCUUACAGAACUUGGCCACUCAAGACCACUCCUUUUAUCUCUUUUAAAUUAAGUUACAAAAACUAUAUCCAUACAAAUGCAAAAUCUAAUAUCUACAUAUAUAUAACAGAAUAUUUUUCUGGGAUUUAAAAUUAUUUAUAUUAUGUGUAAGAUGCUUUUUGUUUCUUUGAAUAAAUCACGUUGGUGUAUGACCAUUCAAAUAAGAUCAGAUCCAAGGUGUUGAAGAUAAAUUGUCUUUGUCGGUGUACUCAAGCAUUUUAUUUGGUAACCCAUAAACUAUAGUAUUUUAUAUAAUCAGUUAUUAUGGAUUCUGGUCAAAUGUUUUCAUUAUCACAAUCAGUUUUUCUGUUGACUACCAAUAGCAAAUUAACAGUAACGUUUAGGUCUUUCUGUUUACGCAAAAUAAUUGUAUUAGUUUAAUUGGUUCUUUUAACAAUAAUCAUUAGGAUAUGAUUAUAUCAAUUUGAGACCUGAUAAUACUUUUAAAUCAUUUGUGUAUAUCAUUAAUAGCCUAGUGAUAUUUCUGCUCAUUCAAUUUUAAUAAAGUUGGAUGUUAAACGAAAAAUCAAAAACAAAAUUAACAGGAAAAUAGGAGGAAUAAUUAAGAAGAAAAAAUGAUUAGCAUUAAUCCUAUGAACAUAAAAUCCAAGCUCUGUAUACAAUUGUUAGGUGAAGGUCUAAAAAAACCCUAAAAAUGUAAUUAUUUUAAACGCCUCUUUCCUUUCCAUAACUAUACAGGCACAAAAAACUUAGGGCCAAAUGGAGCAGGCUCACAACAGAAAGGAGCAGCAGGAUGCUGCCACUUCUUGAACACAGUAGGCUUAUCCGGCUCCGUUCCUUGAUUUCGAUGCUGCAACGGUUGCUGCUGGUUCAUUUCCGCCAUCUGAUCUAUCGCGAUAGGUGAAGUAACAAGAGGAGACAGGAGAGGGAUGGCGGUGUUCCAGCAGGAGGAAGUGGGAGGAUUGAUCUGCAAGGACGCCGGUCGCCGGCGCUGAAGACGACUGGGCUGCGCAGGAGACGAAGCAGAGGCUGAGGUUCUGUUCCUGGAGAUGUCGGCCAUGUAAGGAAGAUGAGAACAGUAACAGAGAUUAAAAGAAACAGAGAGGAGAUUUUAGGAUUUAAAAUUGAUGGCGUGUGUGAAGAGAAAUUUUCUUUGGCAAAAGGUGUGCGAAGAGAAAUGAAGGGAUAGCGAAGAUACAAAGGAUAUAUAUAAAGGAGGCAGGUGAGGUAAGAAGAGUCGCUCGGCUCGGCUCGGCUCUAAAGCCUUCUUUUUUAUAUUUCGUAAAUUACCGAUGUACUGCGGCUUGGUGUGACUGAAUUAUUAGCUAGCGAAUUGUGAAUAAAUAAAAUACUUUCCAUUUUCAGAUGACGCUAAUUUGAAUGAGACUUAAUUGUUUUUUAAAUGAAAUGAAUGUAAGUUUUAAUAUAAAAUAUUAAUUUUUUAUUUUUAAAAAUAAUUUAUUAUUUAACCUAAAUUAGUAUAAAAAAUAAAUCUCCUGCCUUUUUUACAAUUUGCACUUUAUCCGAUAGUUUUAAUUUUAACAUCAUGCCAUAAUUUUUAAAAAUUUACAACACUUUAUCAAAUUUUAAAGUUAAAUUUGGGAGAGUAUACUGGUACUAGUGGCAUUUUGAUAUAUACAACAUAAAUUUCAAAAUAUGGAUUUGGGAAUUUCUCAAAUUCAAUUGCAAAAUAUUUCUUUAAAUUGUGAACUAUUUUGCUAAAACUAAAACUAUUAGAUUAAAAUGCAAAUGACCGAAAAGAAGGAUUUUUAUUGUAAUAAUUAAGCCUAUUAUUAGAGAAAAUUAACUCAUUUAGUAAAUCUUGAGUAGAAACUGUAACCAAAUAAAAAAUUUCUAUGGGCGAAAGUUUUACAAAAUAAAUAUCAAUACGAAUAUUGUAAGAUUAUUUGUGACGAUUCUUCUAAAUUUCUCCAUCUAAAAAGAUAAUAAUAUACAAUAUAAAUUAGAAAAUGAUUAUUUUUUCAAUAAAAAGUGUAUAUACACGAUGGCCUUAUAAAUAGAGGAUUAUACCACUAUUUGUAAAAUCGAAAAGUAAUUGUAAGAUAAUAGAGUUUCAACAAACUCGAGCUUUUUAUACUCUUUAGAUGCAUGCACAUAUGCUAAUUAAUGAAUAACAUUGAAGAAGAUAUCUUACUCUAUUUGUAAGUGUUAUGCAUAGUCAUUGAUCUACGUGUUCGUGACAUGUAUAUGUCCAGGGAAUGUGAUUUAUUCUUCUAAUUUGGAUUUCAGGGACUGUUUCUUGUGUAUUUUUUUUUUGCCAAUUUCCUGCAUAACCUUGAUGGCGCAUGGACAGUAAGUUUGUUGCUAACUUAGGAAAAACUUCAGUUGAAGGUAUUGAGACCAAAGUUUUAUUUGAGGGCUAUAAUCAACUUGGGUUUUGGGAUUGAUAAAGACAGUGAAGGCCAUUGAUUGUAUCCAUGAAAAUGUUAAGAACUUUCAUCCAUUUGUGGAGGCCAUGAAGAGACUUCUUAGUUUGGAUUGAGAAGUUAUAGAAGAGUAUUCCAAGAGAAGCUAAUUACCCGGCCAAGUAUCUUGCACAUUCAUUUAGAUAACUCGUUUAUAUUGAGAAUCAUCUUUUGUAUGCUCCAGAUGCUGCGAUGGGGGAGGCCUCCGGCAUGGAGUUGUCUGCUAUAAUGCUCGAAUUAUGGUGUCACAAGCUGUAUAUUUUUUUAUUCAUAUAUUUAAUUUCAAGAAUAGAGAAUAAGUUGUUAUUAUUAGGUAAAGAAAGGAAAUAGAGCAGUGGAGAAGCAGGCUGCUGACAGCUGAAAUUUAUUAAAAAUGAACGGUUAAAAUUUAAAGUGAGAAAAAAAAUAUAUUACUUGACUCUUAAAUUUUCAUAAUCAAUUUUAAGUGGUUUACCAUCAAGAUACAUCAAUUGUGAUUAGAUGUAUACAUUUUUGUUUUUACAGAACUAUUUUUUAAAAAGAUUUAUUGAUGGAAAGUUGUCUUUUUUUCGUUUUUUCCUUUUCAUAUGCACAUAUUACCUAGCAUUAAUAAAAGAUAAAAAAAUUAUUAAAAAAUCAUAUGAAAGUAGAAAAAGGUUUCAAUUAGUGGAGAAAGGUCAAAAAAAAUAUUUAAUCCGACAUAAAAUCAAAAUGGAAUAUUGUGCAAAAAGUUGUCAGUUUGAUCCGUUGAAGCCAAGAAAGCCAAGCCGAGCUUAAUAGAGCAUAGGAUCCAAAAUAAUACGCCGGAAUGGGAGGCAUGGGGUGUCAGCGUCUGAGUUGGCUUUCUGACUCUUCAAACUCAAAAUAGCUGCUGCUUUGCUUCACUUUUCCUUUAACCGACCCCAACUAACUUGAAAAACCGCGGGGCUUUCUACAACUCCCAAUUCCCCACUCCUCCAGAUUUUGACCUUCCCUUUAUUUUUGCUUCAUCUAAACGUUUUAUGAUAUUUGGUCUCACUUUUCUAUCUCCAGUCUCCACCAAUCAUCUAAUCCCCAAUCCGACGGCUUGCAUCACGUCUCCGUGGUUCAUUCCAAGCCUUUAUUUACUCGGCUCACAUUUGCUGUUGGGCUUGUGCUUAUCUGUUUCUUUCUUCAGCUUAAUGACAAACACUUUGGCAUCAUUCGUGGGCCAUUUUCAAUUCUAGUGUUCAUUUUGGAUAAGGGUAGAUUUGUCAUUAGCAUUGUAAUAGGUGACGAAGGAGAUUAUCUAUUUACCCAUUAGUUAGAGAAAGUAGCAUUGAUUUACAAAAUUGGCCUUCGCUAGAUAUUAGAAUGUACAUAUAUGUUUCUCUAGCAAAAACGUCCUUUGUCACCUAAAAUAGUCAAUAAUCAUGUAAUUGGGAAUUAAUUUAUCUGAAAAGCAUUUUCAGUUCUUCAAUCCUAGCUGACCGAACUUCCUCAUCUGUAAGGGCACCGGCAAUCAUCCGCUGCUUCCUUGCCUGAACUUGUUGCAUCCGUUCUUCCACCGUGUCCUGUCAUAUCAUUAAUAAAUGUAAAUGGACCUUUUAGUUAAAUGAACUCAACAAGGAUAUGUCAAAGAGAAUGAAAUAAGUUGCUUUCGAGUCUAAUCCUAUUAUUCAACUAAAUCAGGCUGCGUCUAAUUUUCAAUUUGGAUCCCAGUACAUAAAGCUGUUUCGUUUGUAUUGGCCUAGGCCGUUUUCCUUGCGUUUCAAUAAAUAAAACACGAACAAGGAAUCUCAAGCUGUGUAAAAUGGAGUCUCAGUCGAGCAUAUGUAUAAUCAAUUAGAACUCUAGUCACAAAGUAUUUGGACAAGACUUGACACGUUUGGCAUAUAUUUAAAUUUUCAGGGGGUUGGAAGCUAGAAGCAUAAUCGCACCUUAACAAUGAAUCUUCUAACAGUAACUGUUCGCUUCUGUCCUAUGCGAUGAAUUCGCAUUAUUGCUUGCUCCUCCACUGCAGGAUUCCACCACGGAUCCUACAAAACUUUUAACAUUAGGAGAGGGCAAUUUUUGUGUUCUACUUUUUCAGUAGAGAAAAGCGUGGGAUGUGAAAAGUAUUACCAUUAAGAAGACAUUGGAGGCAGCUGUUAGAUUCAGGCCAACCCCACCAGCUCUCAAGGACAUCAACAUUACCUGGUAUAUAUCAAAGAAAAGAAGCAGGUUGUUAAACAAGCUAUUUAACCAAGGAGCAGACUGUCAACAGCUAAAGCACUUGUAAAUUGUAAUAUGCUUCACCGUUUUUUCUUUGGUUUCAUUGAACUCAUUCAACACCCUCUCCCUUUGCUUCUGCACUAGUUUCCCAUCAAACCUCAAGAACCCAAUUCUUCUCCUCCUCAAUGGAAUUUCUAGGAGGUCCAGAAAAGAAGUCCAUUGGCUGAACACAAUGCUUUUCUCACCAGAACCUGAUCUGCGAAUCCCUUCCAAGCAUUCCAAGAGCUUUGAGACCUUUGAAGAUUCCUUCCAGUUCUUCUCAACAUCAACUCGGAAUUUAUUCUCUGUUGGGCAUGUUAUGAGUUCAGUUUUCUUCAGCACAGUUCUGCAAAUUGGGCAUAACCCAGUUGUUGGUGUUCGCCAGCUCGACAGGAUGCACUCCCUGCACAUUCUAUGUGCGCAUGGAGUGAGCACAGGAUCAUCUGCAUACUCCAUGCAUAUGGGACACUCAGUAUUUUCACCCCGUCGGAUGCCCUCAACAACCUCUUCAACGUAUGCUCUGGUGGGGCCUGUCUGUCCUGGAGCAGCAGAAUUGGCAUUUGUCUCCAGGAACCUUCUUGCAAGCUUGCUCAAGUCUGCAUACUGUUGUGAAUCGGCUCGACUGCAUAUGCUAAAACCAAUCAGAAACAAGAAAUAUAAACAGAAUAAGGAUUGCUCCAAGUUAAUGAUAUCUGCAACUCCACUCCCACCUCAUAACAAGAAAUGGGUGGUUGCAACACUGCCUUAAUCGAAGUAAUAGCUCAAGAAUAGAUGCAUAGUUGUGAAGAACCUUCCCUUGUGCCACAAACUGGUCAAACUGGACCUGUUAUGUUAAACAAACCAAAAUUAGACCUUCGUUGCUGAUAGAAUUGAAUAUAUAUAUUAAAGCAACUACAAGUACUGAAAUGCUGGUCGAUGAUAAGACAAUAACAUGCAAAUUUAUGUUCUAAAAUCAUUAGGCACCUUUGAUCUUCUGAAAAGGGCAUCGUAGAAAUCAUGUUCAGCUUCAGAGUGUUCACAUUCAAUGAUUUGAAUGUCAGUUGGCGGAAGAACAAGUAUGGGCCUGAAUCACGUUACCAAACACAGAAAAUAACAAAGGAUUUUGCUUUAGAAACAAAAGACCAAACAUUGAAUGCUGACAAAAGAUUUUGCUUCCGAAAAAAAAUAGUAGUCAAAAGAAGGUUGAGAAAACCGAUUAUCACCUUCCUGCUUUGUCCUUUGUAUCCUUGGUUCUUCUCAACAUUAGUGGCCUCAAAAUAGCCUUGAUCAACUUCAAUCCUCUUGGAUCACCAUUUUCAUAAGGCCUCUGAAUCAACUUGUUCCACCUAAAGAAAAGUAUGCUUAUGUUAUGUAGCACUAUUCCAACAAUUGCACAGCUCGAGCAAUUGAUGAGGCAAUAAUGCAGCUUAGCUAAAUUUUCAACUGCCACUUUCUUUUACACCGAAACAAUAAGGGACAUGUAUAUCAUACCAUGCCCAAUUGCACCAAGGUUCGACAUGCAAGAAGCAUAGAAGGCUGUAGAGAUCUUCCAAGCUAUUCUGUUGCAAUUGAAAUAGAGUUCCACAAUUACAUAAAAUUUCGGACUGAAACCAUAAGUUGUUGAAAAAGAAAUAGCAGUGACCGCGAAAUAGCUACGUCGAUAUGAUAAUAUUAAGCUAGAGGGAUGAUUACACAUUUUUCAUGGAUCUUGUACGCUCAAGCAAUUAGUGCACCGAACGGGCAAGCAAACAGACCUGAAGAGGUGUCCCUGUGAGACACCACCGGCAGUGCGAGGACAAUGAGAAAGCAGCUUGAGCAGCUACUGUUUUCCAGGAUUUAAUGCUAUGAGCUUCAUCUAAGACCACCCUAUACCAAUCUACUCUAUGGAAAAUGCUGUUCUCCAAGUCCUACAUUAGAUAUAAUGAAAUUUUUAUUUGCUGCAAGAAAAAGGCUGAGACUGGAAAGUAAAAGAAAAAGUGUGAUCACUACGAAAGAAACUGAAGAAAAGAGGAAAGGUAAUAGAUUAUUAAAUCCAUCCACAUGAAAAACAAAUCAGCUACAAUGCAGGAUCUCAUGUACUUACAGAUUUAUAUGCUGCUGCCAGAACACCAUAUGUUGUCAAGACUACAUCAUAUCCAGAUAUAAUCCUGGAAUCGUUCGUUCUUUCACCACCAUAGUGAAUAAAAAUGGAAAUACUUUCUGGCUCUGAAUGGGUUUCAAGCUCAUCCUGAGAUUUUAGAAGUACAUAAUAAGAUACCUUGCAAGUAACAGCAGUGUUUUGCAAUCUAAUAUCCAUAACAUCGGUUUACUAAUUGACCCAUCAGAAGCAUUUUUCUAGUGCUCUGUUAUUUAGAAUAUCAUAAUUUGCAAAUGGAGCAGUAGAGGCAAAACUAAGCAUUCCUCUAUACAAUUCACUUUCUUCAACUCAGACCAGAAGAGACAAACUCACCUUCCAUUGGCCUAGCAAAGCCAUGGGACACACAAUAAGAGUGCCGCCCUUUGCCUUAGACGAGGUUCUUUCUUUCUUAUUAUUUGUGCUUUCUUGGCUGUCAGUGCUUCCCUUUCCAGGUCUUGCAAGUAUUAGAGCAAUUGUCAUCACGGUCUUUCCAAGACCCAUUGCAUCCGCAAGAAUCUGAAAAGGUAUUUUACGACAUCAGAUAAUAUAACACAUCCCUACUCCCGAUCCCCAAGGCCAAAACACAAUAACAAAAUAGAAAACUCCAAUCUCAACGAAAUAAAUAUAUAUACUAAAUUUGGUGAAAUGAGCAAUAUAUAAAGGAAAAUUCUAAGAUGGACCCAGUCCAUCGCGGAUCCGAGACAGGUGAAUGUCGGUCCCAUAUGAUUUUUUUAUAGGAUAUAUAUAUACAAAACUCACUCCUCCUCUGGCCAUCUGUGUUGCAGUUGGAAAUUGUGUGGUUGCCUCUCCAGAGAAGAUGUUCAAAUAGAUUGAGGAAGCCCUCCUGCUUCAAGGAGGCUUCGUUAAGUAUCAUGUUAUUAAAUUUACUGGGAAAAAUCUAGUUGCAACAUGACAAAAUUUGUGGUGCGCGCUUGUCCAUGUUUUACUAGAAUUUACGUACUCAUCACAUAUACGAUACGCUGCCCAGCAUGGAUGAAGAGUUUCUGCUGCUUUCUCAGCAUCAAGUCCCCUCUCUGCUUCUGACAUCCAGUAGAGUGCUUGUUUUUGGUAAGGCUUUAGCUGGCAAAUUAGCGAGCUUGGGGGUUCCAUCUCCUACAAAAUUAAGAAGUAAGCAUCAGAGAGAUGAUGUGGCUGAGUCACCAACCAUAUAGUUAAAAUAUUUCAUGUGCACCCACUCUCCCGCAUGCACAAUCUUAUGAUAGGUCCACCUCCCCCCCNNAAAAAAAAAAAAAACCAACUUCCCUCAUGUAAACCUUAAUGAUAAUAAUGAGAAUAAUAAUAAUAAUAAUAAUAAUAAUAACAAAAACAGUAGUAGUGAUAAUAAUAUAAUUAUUAUAAAUAUAAAUGUCAUUUAUAGUAGUGUACCUCUAAGUUAUAUAUCUCCGCAGCACCAACAAGCUUAUUAAGAGAUGAUUCUGAAAUAGCUUGUUCAUCUUUGUUUGGUUCUGGAUAUUGCUGGCAACCCUUUCUCCUUUUUGCUAAAGAUAACAUUGCUGCAGCUUCAUCCUCUCCCUGUUUUGACCAACAAAGCUUAAAUUUUUACCAUGGCAUUCGUGCACUACUAUAUAUCUGCAAGCUUGAAAUUGCACAUAUACCAGCAACAGUAGCACCCAAAAAAGUGACUCCAUUGUGUUAUGCUACAAUACGGUCCACAAACCAAUGUAAAUUUUCAUUAGAAACUAAAAUAAGUUCAUAGAUUUUUUCUUUUAAAUUCCCGUCACUCCAGUUAUCAAGCAACUUGUGGUACUAAUGGGAUUCAUAUCAGUGCGUGUGUUCAAGCAAUUGGGAUUCUGAAAUCAAUGAAAAAAAAAAAGUAUAGCAGCGCAUAAACCAACGUACUUCAAGAUUCAGUGAGCGCUUUCGAGAAUCAAGCUCCUCGGGCGUGAAUUCCGCCUGAUUGAAUGAAAAAUACAUGUCAAGAUAGUUAAUUUUAGUCAUGAACGUUGGGAAUACAUAGGCAUUAUCAUCAACAGGGGAUAAAGAAAAGAACCUUCUGAUAUGGUGUUAUUUUCAACAAUUUGAACAGAGUAAGGAGAGGAUGAAUCGUAGAAUCAAUAUUUGAAGUGGUUUCUAGCCUCCGUGUUGAUUUAUCCAAAUCCGUGAAAAUUGACUUGUGAAUAUAAAAGCUGCCAGACAGACAAAUAAUUAACGACUUAAUUAAAUAAAUAAUUCACAUCACACCCGGAGAAUUAUUUCCCAAACAGAUAGAAGAAAAUUACCUAGCUACAUGCAAAUUAAAGAAUUUAGACAGAAAAUAUAAGAAUUUUACCUCACAUACAACAUUAUCUCUUGCAUGAUGUGAAGGCUUGGUGGGGCAGCUACACACCGUCCAAGAACUUUAACCUUGGUAGAAUUUACAAGUGGAACAACACAUUUUGACCACUCCAUUGGAAGCCGACCAAUCUAAAUUUUGGACUCACAAUUAAACAGUAAGGAACAAUCUAAAUGCACAUAUAUCAAAUUUAAAUUUGGAAAAAGAAAAUAACAAAACCAUCACUUGGAGCUAACCUCUCCAUAUCGUUUGGUAGAGAAGCGAACAAUCCACUGCGAGUUAAAUCUCAUAUUUGUAUUGGGAAAGACAAAAUUGACUAUUUCAUUGUCCACCAAUUUCCUACCUUUGCUAGUCGAGAGGCCAAUAACCAUCGUCCUUCCUACCAAGUACCAAUCUGCCUCUUCUGGGAAAUCCCCAUCCUCCACUUUAAUACCAUUAAUCAUUGUAUCUUCAACCAUUUCUUGUUUCACGUUCUUAGGGUUUUGACGCCUACUAUAACGAUCAAACAGCACUCUUGGCAUCUCCAUAACAACCACGUCAGGUUCUUCUUUUACUGUACCAUUUUGUGUACCCCCAUUAGAUUUUCUUUCUGUGAAUUCGCAGUAUUCUUUAAAUGGCAUGCCUCUAGGACUUGAUAAAAAGAAUGGUUGAUUACUCUCUAAUUUAACUUCUGCUUUGCAGACAUCAGGCUCCUCUUUAACUUUGAUCUCUAAAUCCUCUGGCUCCUUCUUCACUUCUUUCACUACACACUUUUCUUUAAAUCCAUCAGAUUUCCCUUCCUUGGGUUCAUAGGAUUCUGGAAAUAUAGGUAACUUACUCUCUGGCUUCUCUUCUUGCUUACGGGUAUCAGGCCCUUCUACUGUGACCUCCUCUUUCACCCUUGUAUCCGCUUUCAAGGUGGAUGCUUCCAGCUCCUGGGACCCUUCCUGCUUGAUUUCGAUGGAAACCCGUACGCCGGUGCUGGUAACAGCACGCUUGACAGCGAUGGCGCCGUCGUGGGUGCCAGAAUCGUACGAGGGUAUCUUACGGACCUCCCCUUCUUCUUCUUUUGGAAGAAUUUCCAUGUUUUAAAUUAAUAAAAGAGAAUUGAUUAGGAAAAAGAGAAAUUGAAGUGCAAAAACGAAAGAUCUCUGUUUCAAACGAAGAAACAGAGAGAGAGAGAGAGAGAGAUAGUGGAGAGGAUUUGGGGGAAUUGAUUUUAUAGUAGGUAACAAUUUUGGCGCGAAAGUUUUUCCCUCUCCCGCUGUGAAAGUGGAGGGUUGGUAAUUUUAUCCUUUUGGCGCGAAAAGGGAAGGCGAGUGAAAACUAAUAAGAGCAAUUUUUUACCAAAGCAUUUCAUUUCUUGCUGCUUGAAAAGGCAAUGCAAUUUGUAUGACGCGAUACGGGAUGCCGUUUUUGGAAGCUAGCAAGUGAACUGCCCUUUUUACCCUUAUUCGUGCUUUUUACCUUGAUAUGUUAACAAUAAAGUUAAUUGGAAGGCAAAGGGCUGUGGCCGUAUCCAUUUAAGAGAAAUAUAACAAUAGCAGCAGACCCCAAAAGCGCACACUAGCUUAACCUAACUCUCUGUUUAGGAGAAAGUUUUUAAAGGUAAAAAAAUUGUUUUUAAGAUUUAAAAAUUUUGAAUUUGUAUUUUGAGAAGAGAGUAAGUUGAGAAGGUUUUUUCUUGAAAACUUUUGAAUAUCUUUAAAAAAAUUUUAUUUUUCCAAACAAUUAAAAAAAAAUUUAAAUUUUCAAAAUUAUAAAAAAUCUUACCAUAUAAAGCUAUAGUUUAGAAAACUUUUCCUUAUAAGAGUGUAAAGAAAACUUCAAAAAUCAAGCCCACAGCCUUAAACCAAGGCAUGUGAAAAAUACUUCUUAAACUAACUGAUUCAAGUACUGACCAAAUGCCCACAAGCCUAAAUAUCGCAAAAUCCCUCAUUUAUUGCAAUUUAUAUCUUUUUCCCCUUAAAAAAAGUCCANNNNNNNNNNNNNNNNNNNNNNNNNNNNNNNNNNNNNNNNNNNNNNNNNNNNNNNNNNNNNNNNNNNNNNNNNNNNNNNNNNNNNNNNNNNNNNNNNNNNNNNNNNNNNNNNNNNNNNNNNNNNNNNNNNNNNNNNNNNNNNNNNNNNNNNNNNNNNNNNNNNNNNNNNNNNNNNNNNNNNNNNNNNNNNNNNNNNNNNNNNNNNNNNNNNNNNNNNNNNNNNNNNNNNNNNNNNNNNNNNNNNNNNNNNNNNNNNNNNNNNNNNNNNNNNNNNNNNNNNNNNNNNNNNNNNNNNNNNNNNNNNNNNNNNNNNNNNNNNNNNNNNNNNNNNNNNNNNNNNNNNNNNNNNNNNNNNNNNNNNNNNNNNNNNNNNNNNNNNNNNNNNNNNNNNNNNNNNNNNNNNNNNNNNNNNNNNNNNNNNNNNNNNNNNNNNNNNNNNNNNNNNNNNNNNNNNNNNNNNNNNNNNNNNNNNNNNNNNNNNNNNNNNNNNNNNNNNNNNNNNNNNNNNNNNNNNNNNNNNNNNNNNNNNNNNNNNNNNNNNNNNNNNNNNNNNNNNNNNNNNNNNNNNNNNNNNNNNACACAAUAAUAAAAUAUAUAGAUAAAGCAAUGAAUGUCCUAUUUAAGUCAUGCUCCACACACAUCAAAAAGAUAUUUGACCUCUCAUCUCAUCCGUCGCCGAGAUAACUCAUCAUGUGCACGUUAGAGAAGCAAGGCAAUAUCUUCAUUUUGACAUUCAUCGGUGACGGUGAGCAUCGUCUGAGCCCUUCUCUCAUCGAUUCCGUCUUAUCGGCUCUCCGCGAAGUAAAAUCCAAGGCCACUCGCGGCUCAGUUCUUAUCACCACAUCCCAAGGCAGGUUCUUCUCCAAUGGUUUCGAUCUCGCCUGGGCUCAAGCCGCUGGAUCCAGUUCUAAAGCCAUGGAACGCCUCCAUCACAUGGUCGUCUCCUUCAAGCCGGUCGUGGCCGAGAUGAUAUCCCUCCCUAUGCCCACGGUGGCAGCCGUCCAGGGCCACGCCGCCGCCGCUGGAUUUUUGUUGGCUUUAAGCCACGACUACAUCCUGAUUAGGAGUGAUAAAGGCGUAUUAUAUAUGAGCGAGAUUGACAUAGGGCUUCCGUUGCCGGAUUAUUUCGCUGCAGCUUUUCGAGCUAAACUCCACGCUGUUUCCGCUCGACGGGAUGUCCUCCUGAGAGGUGCCAAGUUGAAAGGGGAGGAAGCGGUGAGGAUGGGGAUCGUAGAUGCUGCGUACGAUAGUGAAGGAAGCUUGGCUGCGGCUGCGAUGCGCCUGGCGGAGGAGUUGGCAUCAAGUAAAUGGAAGGGCGACACUUACAAAGAAAUAAGAACGAGCCUAUACCCAGACCUAUGUGGGGUGCUGGGAUUGGAGGAAGGAAAAAUUGUAGCUAAACUUUAACCAAGAAAUAAAGGAAAAAGGGAUUGGAACACUUGGCAUGUGAUACUGUUUGUUUCAAUAAAGAAGACUCUAGAUGUAUUCUCAAAAUUGUAAUUCCAAUCCCUAGAUCUGGCGUUAUGUCGAUUUUCAAAUUUAAGAAUAAUGGUUAAGAGGGUCGGCCGUGCGAGCCAACCCUAUAAGUUUCCACAAAUUAUGUCGGCCAUAUGUCUUGAUUGCCAUACGGCACUCACCGGACGAGGGCGAGUGCGGCAUAAUUAGCCAACCGACCCUUUUAAUUUGCGAAAUCCAACUCAAGCCUGAUAUAUAUGGAACACUUUGCACCCUCUCUCUUGCUGCUUCCCGAUGUGGGAAUUUUAUUUCUGCUCCAUAUGCAUCCCUAUGGGUAUGAGAACCAUGAACACUUGCUUGGCUUUUGCUACCUAAGAUGAAAGCCUAAAAGCUUGUUAUCCUCCCCAUGCUAGUUCCUUAUCAAUUGCUCUGGUUGAAAAAUCUUAGUGGAGAACUAGCAUCUGUUAAUAUCUUUAAUGUUCUGGUUUCUUAGGUAGAUCAUUAAUCAAUAGUUCCACCUUCAGGCCUACAAUGUCUGUUCACGCCAGAUAAAUUUCUGCGUUACCGAGGAUUAUAGGCGGAAAAAUGUAUUCUUAUUUUCAAUUCUCAAAAGCAUCUUACAGUUUCAGUUUAACACGUUCAUCUACCAUAAACUCUUCAUACAGUAAGGCCAAAUAUUUUGUUAGACGUUCAAACCCAAGUUUUCUAAAGCUGUGGCACAUAUGAGGGGAAAAAAAAAACAGAAAUGGAAGCUUAUUUUCUCUACAAUUACAAAUGAUCUCGCAAGCAGUACGUAGGCUUCACAUGUUUGAUGGUAUUCUUUGCAAUUAGGAUCAAUAAGCUCAGCCAUUAGGUCUUCUACAACAAGGAUAUGAACAAACCUGCCAUUCAGCAGCUGCACAAAUAAGAAGCCAAACGAUUCCUCGUCACCUCAAGUGUAAAUAUGCAAGUCUCUUCAAUCUUAAAGGAGAGAAUGCAACACACUUGUGCUUCAUAAGGUAAAAUGUCAAUGCUAACGCACUUUCACCUGCUCAAAAGAAACACAGGGCCUUCUAAAAUGAUAAUUUAUGUUUCCCUCAAGAAUUACUCAACAAUCAACUUCCAUAAAGUUUGAUUCUCCAGUAGAAUUAGAUUUUGCCUUACCCACAGUUGCUAAUUCUAAAUCAGAGCAUUCGUUCCUCUCCUUUAAGAAUUUAUAUAACACAUUGCUUGGCUUGAAGAUAGUAAGAAUCAUUAUAUUUUCUGCCACUCCCAAUGUGAAUCCCAUUGCGAAUCCAAUCCUCCCUCUGUAUCCAAGCAUCCCGACCGAAAUCAAGAAUUCCAAGGAUCUGGCAUCAAUAACACGGGGCAUAAAAUGCAUGACAAUCCAUCAGCAAACAGUAAGCUGUCAUCAAAAGCAUGACCCAGUUGAACCAUAUGAAGGUCCUAAUAUACAGACUAAGCAACAUUGCCCACUUGACCGAAGGGUAUAAAGCCAGAAAAUUGGUGCGUUAAGGUAAAAUGUAAUGGAAUGUCAAGUAUUCACUCCACAUAACUCUGAACUACAAACUAUGAUCCUUUGAACCUACCCAACAUGUACUUGUCUUACAAAAUACAUCACGAUAAAGAUAUAUAAAAAAAAUACAAUGUGAUACAUAUAGCAACAAGGAAUAGCUGAGUAACAUCAUAAGCUGACUAACCUGUCUAUGAUAUAAAAUAAAGAAGAUAUAAUAAAUCACAUGCACAAAUAAUGAGAUUUUCUUUGUUGCCUUCUCUCAAGGAGAACAUUCUUCACAUAAAAUAUUCACAUCAUGAAGGCCAAACAUGCAUAAGAAACUAGUUACAAGAUAAAGAAAAGAUGUAAACACAAAGGUAGCAAGUGAGGACUUACAGCUCCACCUUUCCAGGACACAAAGGUUUGAUUUGUUCUUGACUGCAGAACCUGUAAGUGAAAGCCAGGUAAUAUCAACGUCUGGUAUCACAACAUAGAAAACUAAAUAAUGUAUAGCACUACUCACAGUAUCUUCAAAUUCCUCCAUUUUUGUGAGCCAUCAACAAGAUAACAUCAUAAUUCUGCAAGUGAAAUAGCCUAAACCCUAAACCUAAACCCUAAAUUCCAAAAGCUAAACUCAUAUUUCUGCAAGUGAACUAGCAGUCCAAAGUUGACUCCAACUGUAAUACUAAUUUACCACAAAAUAACCUUUAGUUAUUAAAUAAAGAUAAAAUUAUUGGUGAAUCAAUCACCUAACUGCAAAUAAACAACCCCUUGAAAUUUUGUCAUAAGAAUCUAAAAGAUAUUAAAAAUGACCUAUAGAAAUAUAAUCUAUGAUCGGUAGACAUGAGAGCAUUUAUGUGCAAUUUUUUGUCCAUCCAUUUAGCCACUAGAUAAACUAAAUUAUUUAUCACUAUUAUUUGUAACAAAUACAAGUGGCAAGGGCAAAGGUGCUUCAUUUUCUAUACAUGUAUAACCUUGUAGUUUAUACAAGGAAAUCAACAACAUAAACAUAUAUUGUAAACUAACCUCAACUGUAUCAAUUGCUUCAUUGGAGGGGAUUUCAUGUAAAACUCUGCAAUAACAAAGGAAAACACGAAGAAGGGCAAGCCAGUUGUUAAGGUGUAUUCCAUGAGAUGGAAAAACAAAUUCAAUAACCUAAGCUAUUCACUCGGAAAAGUAUAAGCCAAAUGAUGCUCGUAAAUGGUUUUCUUCUUCUUUUGUUUUUGGGUUUGGUGGGGAUGGGGGGAAACCCGAUAACUAGAGUUUUUCCAAUAACCAAGCCAAAGGAAUGAGUGUCUGAUGUAAAAAUUUCCCCCUCAUUGGACUUAUUCUGGACAAUCUUGAAAGAUGUUAUUCUUGGCACAACAGAUACAAAGUUCAUGAUCACAGCACCACUCAGACAAAUACAUGCUCUACUUCUAAGAUUAAAAUGGGACCGACCUCUCCUCUACUGCAGGACUCAGACCAGGUGCCAAAGCCAUUCCACCGAUCUAAAAACACAAACCUACAUCAAUCUUCCGGUCUAAAAGAAAUGUGAGCAUUUAUUACCUCAUGCAUACUGUUGAAUCCCACAUCGGUUGUGGAAAAGGGGUAAUAUGCCCCUUAUAUAGGCCAUAGACACUCCUCCCCUUGAGCUAGCUUUUGGGGUGAGUUAGGUCUGCCCCAAAUUUAACAUGGUAUCAGAGCCUCCCACCGAUGUUGGGCCUCCCAUAAAUAUGUCACGCACCAGUAAAAAAUUCUGGGCGUGAGGGGAUGUGUUGAAUCCCACAUCGGUUGUGGAAAGGGAUAAUGUGUCCCUUAUAUGAGCCAUAGACACUCCUCUCCCUUGAGUUAGCUUUUGGGGUGAGUUAGGCCUGACCCAAAUUUAACACAUACAAUCUGAAAUAGAACUUACCAAUUGUAUGCUACAAAACAAUUUUCUCUUGAGGUCUAUACGACCUGCCAACAGAAAACACAAACCUUUUUAAGUAUCAACAGCUCAAGAUACGAAAGUAGAGGAAUUACAUGUGAAUUUACCUGUUGAAAGGAUGCUACUGGUGAUAGCCUCUGCAACACCAACUUUCUCUUCUUUCUUAGGCUUAGAAGGGAAAACCAGAUAGCUAUCCCACAUGGAUAAUCCAACAUUAACGCCAGUAAAUAGACCAUCUGCUAUAUCAGGUCUUCUAGGGUAAUCAAUAUGCUAUGUAUUUUCCAGCAUAUCCUCGUAGUCAUGGAACCUGGUGACGUGUAGUAUCAAAUGCAGUAAUUUCUAAUUACUAGUAACUAUUGUUUCACUGAUAUAGGAAAGAAAGCUUGCGUAAAGCAAGAAAACUCGAAAACUUAAUAAUGUUCCUACCAGGAACGAGGUGGUGGAGGAUACACAUCUGGAACCAAAAGCACUGAAUAGAACAGACCUAUAGGCAGUACCUGUUUGCUAGAACCAUCAAUAACACAGUUCUCCUCAGCUAAACAUCCUUUAAGAAGAGAAUAUUAUACACAGUUUCCCUCAUAAUAGACAUACAUUAAGAGCAGUUAGCCUAGUUUUAUGAGAUCCAGAAGGUGCAACCCCCUCAUAAGAAUGUAUUACAGCUACAGCAUCAACCUCUCCCUCCUGUACAUAAAAGUAAAUUACAGAAAAAAAACGAGACACAGUUCAAAGAGUUCCUGUCAGUAACGCUACCUAUAGAGGGGUCACUAUCCAGUUCAAUAGUAAAGGUCUUGAUCAUCAUUAUCAAUGUUAAGACAAGGGUUUUGGGAGAGGCUCUAACAAUUUGGUGCAAAUACAUCACUGUUAUGAAGAGAUGUUUUGUUUUAUUCAGCCCUGUCAUGUCACUGAACUUGUAUAAAAUUUUUUAGUCUACUUCUCUUAUCAAGAAUAAACCUGUUAUGCAGUUGAGUUGUGCUUCCAAACAUCUUAUAUUGUUGAAUAAGCUUCUAACCUAUGUUUAUCUUUGAAGUUGAUAAUUUGUUUCACUCUGCAUUACUCUUUCUUUAUCCCAUCAAAUCAUCAGAAACGUAAAAUUUGAAAUUGACAAUUGCUACCUUUGCAUCAUGGUUAAGUAGUCAGUUGAGCAUCUAUGUCCAAUACACCAAACAUGGCUUUUCCUUCUAACCAUUGCAUCCCGUAACUUUAGGCCAUAAUCAUUAUCAUCUUUUUUCCUAAUCACAAUCACAUAAUAUCAUAAUUCUCGAUAGCCAUAAGUCCAACCAUGGGCUAACUUUUUCAGUUACCUCUUUUUGCUAAAUUUAUUUAUCAAAACUUCUUUCAGUAUUGCAUCAUAAACCAUAUGCCCUUUAUCAAAAUUCUGUUUAUGGUAGGGUUGUAAUUAGUUCUGCAUUGUUGCUGAUACUUAUCCCCAGGACCCCAUUCUAAUUAGAAUGGUCUGAGCUGCCAAACAUUUCUGGGAGGGCAGGAAUAAAACAAAGACUUCUCUUCUAAAAGCAACCAUGGAGACAAAAUAACUUCAUAAAAUAACUCUAAUAUGCUUUCUGUAGUGUAUCAAUUCACAGAGAGGUUACGAGGGAAGAGGAGAAAAGGUCACCUUGAUCUCACAAUAGAACUCCCUUACUCUGUUGAGCAUCAGCAGAUCAAUAGGCUUUGUCACAAUGUCAGUUGGAAUUUGGGGCCAUGUCUGAUGAUGCCUUUGAGUCCAGAGUAGGCAUCUGGAUAUAUCCUGAGGAAGCAUACUGAUCAAGCAUAAUUUAGCCACAUUUUUAUCAUAAUUAUUAUUGUUUAUUUACACAUUUUUUAGUUUAAUUUAUGGUUUUUAUCUUGUUUUUACAGAAAAUGAAGAAAUUGGAAAAUUGGAGAAAAAGUGCAGAAAAUUGACAGAAAAGUGAUUGGGUCAGUGAUUUGCCCAAAACACUCAAAUCACCAGGCAAAUCACUUAGACAGCAGAAACCUGGAGGCAACAGGCAGAAGUGAUAUGGGCAAGUGAUUUGCCCAAGACACUCGAAGACACUGGCCAAAUCACUCGCAGAAGACAGAGAGCAAAAAAACUGGACUGACUCACAGAAAAGUGAUUGGGUCAGUGAUUUUCCCAAAACACUCAAAUCACCGGGCAAAUCACCGGGCAAAUCACUUUGACAGCAGAAACUGACAGAAGAGCGGGAAAUUGGGCAGAAAACAGAAAUCCGAAUUUUCAGAAGUCCAAUUCCAACCCAAUCACUACCAACAUAAAACCAAGAGCCACGAAAGAGCUUCUCAUCCAAGAAAUUCCAAUUGCAAUUAAAUUCAACAUCAAAAGAGGAGUCAAACACCAAAUCAAAAAGGGAUUUUGAAACCCUAGAUGGAUGGAAUUCUUCAGCUAUAAAAGGAGAGCCUCCAAACCAGCAGAGGGAGCUUCUGAUCAGCUAUUGAGCCUCCUCUUCCUAUCGCCAGAAACUCUGCAGCUCUUCCUUUUUCUUUUCUUUUAGUCUUUUUGUGUAUUUAGUCCACCAUGAGUGGCUAAACUCCUUUCUUUUCUAGUUGAAGUUGGUGAAUUUCAUAUUUUGUGAUGAAUUGGGAGAUUUAAAUCUCCAUUGUUAAACUUCUAUUUAUUUCCAAUAUUUAUGCAAUUUGAUCUUUCUAUAAUUGUUACUUUGCUUUUAGAAUCAAUAAAGGCCCAUUGCUUUUAAAUUGCUUGAGUAACAAAUUGUUUGAAUGGUUUAGGUCCGUAAUUGCUUAGAUUAUUUAAACACACAUUUAAUCAAGUUGCAUAAUCUAAACUUGACCACGCGGUUGGUAAGGUUAGAAUUAGGUUUCUCUAAGUCUUAAUGCAGUUAACAGUUGUUCAAUGCCAAAGGCCCCAAGGACGUUCCUUGACAACUUGUUAACUAGUGAUUUGAUUAGCGAACGUUUCCUAAUCAAACUAAAACUAAGGAGGAAUUUGGAUUGUGAGAAGCGUCUUCCACAUCCUAAACUAAUUUAUUGGUAUAAAUAGGAGUGUUAAAGAAUCAAUGAUCAAUUCUAAACAAUCUGAAAUAAGAUCCAUACUUCAACUAGAAACUUUUCUCUUAUUGAUUUACUCAUCUUUAAAUUAUUUGCUUGCUAUUGUUAAUUAGCUUUAGUACAUCUUCAACACAAAACCCCCCUCUUUUAAUUAUUUGUUAUUUACUUGACCUAGUCAUUAUUAGGAAGGUCUUUAGUGUCAAUUCCCUGUGGUUCGACCCUAUUGCCACUAUCUGCAAAUUAUUUUGUUGAUUGAGAAUAGGUUUAUUUUUGACGGCUUCGACAACCGCCUAUCACAUACUAAUUCAACUACUCUAAGCAAACCAACACAGAAAAAAGUUCAAGGAAAAAAAUCUUUCAGGAUGAGAUAGUAAGAAAAAAGAAUGUGUUUACACAAAUAGAGGACUUGAAUAAGCAACUUAUGCAAAUGCUAGAAAAUAUAGUUCAUGAUGAUUUUCAUUUUUUAUGGAGACAUUAAGCAAAAUUAUUCUGAAUAGACUUCUUAAACCUAGCAGAUAAGUGAACAUUUCUAACGCAGAUAAGUAAUUCAGCAUCAUUAAGUAAGAGGAAAUCCCCUAGAUUUUCUUAAGGGUAAGCCUCUUUUCCUUACCCUUCGCUUGGGAAAUUCUUAGGCAUCACUUUAACGCAGUUGUCCAAAUCCAUCUCGUGAUGGAAAAUUAAUAUUUACAUUCUCUUUCAAGCAAUCCACUAAUGUAUCAUUAAUUUUUCUUUGAUUUUCCCUAAAAUUAACUUUUGUCAGCAAUAUCAUAGCUUGAGAGCAACUAUCAUCAAGAAAAGUCUUCAAAGUUAAUAAUAACUUAAUAGUGGUUAUCAGCAGAAACUGCACAAGCAAAAGGCUAAAAGGAAUACUUUUAAGGUUACAAAACAUUGCCCACUUUGAAAAAGAAAAAGGCUCAAAUUCCAUGUAAUAAAAUUUUAGCCUAGAAGUAAUAGCCAAUUCAAGUACAGUGUAGAAGUCAUUGAGUAAAAAAUAUCAUAAUGAACACAUUCCCAAAGUUUAUUCCACCCUGCCAUGGGUAAUUUAGAAUGUGGUAAAGCAAUGUAUUCCAUACUUUAUUUCAUAUCACACUUAUCAAUUGAGGUCAAGGGGUCCAUUUUAUCUUCUACUAUAAUAUAUAUUAACUGCAAGCAUAGGAAAACAUAAAAACAUCCAUUAAGGCCACAGAUGAAUUCAAGUUACAAAAAUUUACUUGGGAAUGAAGCUUAGAAACAGGUUCAUUGGUUCAGUAAUGAAUAUGAAGAUGGAAACUAAAUCCACACCUCUCCACCAAAGGGCAAAGUCUUUUCUGUAUUAGGUAGAGCUACUCCAUCCUGAACACCAAAGUUGAAAUUAGUUAAUUCUCAUAAGAGUUGCUUUGACAUCGUACUUUAAGCAUUGCCAUGUUAAUAUGACACUAACAGCUAUAACAAAAAUAUCAAGAAAAAUCUGGAUGAUUUAGAAGUCAGAAUUUACUAUAUAAAAGCAAUUACUUCAAUGCAAAUGACAGAUGUCACCUGAGCACCAACAUUUACAACACAAGCUGUUGAUAACCCAUUCCCAAAAACUGCAGCAAGGCCUUCUGACAAUCAUCUCAGAAGAUCAUCAUAUAAGAGGAGCAUACAUGACAUAAACAUAAGAGGAGCAUAUAUGACAAAACUAAACAAAUCAAUAACAAAAACCACCUACAGCAGUGAAUGGGGAAAAUUUAAUAUUGCACCAUUCUCAUCUCACAUGCCAUGUAUUAGUAUUUCUGUUCUUACUCUCAAAAUAAACAUGAAAUAAUCUAAGACUGGAAAACAACAAUAGACACAUAAACACAAGCAAAAGAAAUAUAUAUAUGAGCACAGGUAUCAAAUAUGGAUUACAAUGAAAAGUUGCAACACCAGAAACUGAAAAUAUAUCUUAAGAGCUACUAUAUAUUUUCAGAGGGAAAAUUCAGAAUAUCGAGAUGAUAAGAAUUGGUAGGCUCUUUUAGGGGAGGAAAACAGAAUUAGCUUCUUGUUGUUCACAAACGAGGCAGUUCCAUUUGCAAAAUUUUCAUUUAGUAUUACUUAUUUUAAAACAAAAUUUAGAAUUUCAAAGAAAUUUCGGUUUUUUUUUCUAAUUAUGGUGGAUAGUAUAUUCCGUUGUUUAAGACAUGAUGAUCUAAAGAAUUUAGAUGGAAAGUGUUGAAUCCCACAUCGGUUGUGGAAAGGGUAAUGUGCCCCUUACAUGAGCUAUAGGCAAUCCUCCCCCCUUGAGCUUGAGUUAGGCCUGACCCAAAUUUAACAUGGUAUCAGAGCCUCCCCGUCCGAUGUUGGGCCUCCCACAAAUGUGUCACGCACCAAUAAAAAUCUUAGGCGUGAGGGAGUGUGUUGAAUCCCACGUCGGUUGUGGAAAGGGAAUGUGCCCCUUAUAUGAGCCAUAGGCAAUCCUCUCCUUGAGCUAGCUUUUGGGAUGAGUUAGGUCUGACCCAAAUUUAACAAAAGCAUUGAAAUGCAAGCCAGUGGGGGCAACUGAAAAAGCUCAAAUUAUGGAGGGACUUCAAAACAAGAUGUAGUUAAAAAGAUCUUCAUGGCUUUAAGUGUCACAAAAGAAAUUAUACAUGGGCGGUCUUUGUAUUCUCAGUAAUGGUGGCAAAGGUAAGUUAAAUUAAAGAGUAUUAUUGAAAGUAAAGAAAAUAGAAAGCAAUAUUUUUUAAUAAAUUAGAAUAUUAUUCAACAAGAAAAUUGAUGACUACACUACAGAAUGACUUCAUGUUCAGAGAAGGAAGAAACUAAUUUGAUAUGGUGAGAGGGAAAAGUAAAAUAAAAAGACCCCAUCCAUUAUGCUUGCAUUAUUCCAAAAUCAACAGAAAUACUAAAAAUGUGCAUGUGAUGUAAAAAGCCAUGUAAUGCUUACAUAAUGAAACUUUUUUCACCGCAUGAACUACAUUCACAUGUUAGCAUCAAAAAAAAUUAAAAAUCAGCCAUUGAAUCAUUAAGGAAAGGAAAUAUCUAUAAUAAAAUUAUGAAUGACUGGCAUCGAGCCAUUUUCCACAUAUAUCUAUACUGUAUAACCAGAACCAAGAAGGCAUAAGAAUAAGAUCCUUAAACAUUUUAUACAGCAACAAGAUAACCAAAUACAGAACAUAUUAUCAAAUAAGAAUAGGAGCGUUAAUGGCAUUCUGAUGUGCAAUGAAAAGGAAAUACAAGAUUGAUAUUCCAUAAUGUCGCAUUCCAGAACACAGUGUUAAUUACUUGCAACAACCACUAACAAAAAUUAGAUAUCAAUUUCUUCUUAUUUUUGUCUUUUUCUUCCCUCCCCUUCCCCCCCCCCCCGCUUUUUUUUCUUUUUCCUUUUCUUUUGUGGAGGAAAGUCUUGAAUUUAGAUUAAAAAGGUAUCAACAUGUAAUUACCACGAUUGUCAAAUGUUUCUGACAAAACAAGUAUGGCAGCAUACAAGCUUCUUUCAGAGUGAGGGAUAUGCAAUUUCUCUACCAAUAUCCAAACCCAAAUAGCAUGAAGGUCUUCAAGCACCUAAGAAAUAAAAAGAAUAAUUAUAAAAAAUCAGAAAAUGGAGUCUCAUUAUUAAAAAAAUAAUUAUAAAAAAUCAGAAAAUGGAGUCUCAUUAUUAAAAAAAAUAAUUAUAAAAAAUCAGAAAAUGGGAUCUCAUUAUACGUAUCAGCUAAAACCUCAGAACAUAACAGAAUCUAUUUUAUGCCUGAACCAUAUCAGGAUGAUUGAGGCAAUUCCUAAUAAGAUAUCAACAGCAAAAUUUUCACUGUCAAAACACAGCAGUAACACCAUAUGUCUGCAUAUGGUAGAACUGGUAUACCUUUCUUCUCCUAGUGAAAAGAUACACAUGCAUGAAAUUAUUAAUCAUCAGCAGUAGCGACGUCUGUGUUGUGUGCAAGGAAGUUAAUCAACAGGAGGACCGCACCUGCUGCAUGGGAUAAUGUUGUGAAAUGUUCAAGUGUCCUCUGCGAAUAGGGCAGUGUAAGCAAUAUGGCUCAGUGGGGGAUAUUCUUAGUCCUUCCUCGCCACAAAUGAAACCUCUGUAUUUACGCUCACUUUUACUUGGCUCCUUAGCAUCUGUAUGUUCAUGCUUCUCCAAGGACUCACCAAUCUGACUGUCAUUUGUCGGUCUUUCUGCACAAGGAAUAUGCACCAGUUAGGCAUGCAACAAUAAAUCCAAGGUGAAAUCUGUAAUUGGAAAUUAUCAGCUCAGGAAAUAUCUAGCAAAGCAAAAUGACUGCAGUCUGGGAAAAAAGCAUAUAAAACACAGGAGUACGAUCUAUAAAUCAAAAGAAUACAUUUUAAAGGAAAUAUUAUCACAAUCACAAAAGAGCUCUCUUUUUAAGGGAUGUUAUGAUAUACUCAGCUUCCCUCUGUUUCACCCUGUCAGACAGUCUGAAUGACCCCUAGUUGCUCAAAGCAUGGAAUAUGGACCCCAGGUUUGGUCACACCAAGUCCACCAAUUGAUACCACCUACGCUGUAUGCUAAACUAUCUAAAACUAGUCUGCCUACUCAUCAAACAUGCCUAUCAGUAUGUGCAACAUACUUCACCACACUUGCAUAAAUUUAAAUUACCCAUGUUAUAAAUCUUGCAAUGAAUAUGGAAAAUAUUAUCAAAUAUUUUCAGUUCUGUCAACUAGAAAUUCAGAGUUUCAGACCCUAAUCUUGGCAUCGCUUAUAUGGCCCCACCAGUGCGACGCUCUAAUGCAAUUCCUAACUCAUUAGGCCUAAAGUACUGAUAACCAAAGCUAUCACAAACAUGAUUGCAGGAAAAUUUAGGUCACAACAAAAAUAACUAAGAAAUAACACUAGAUAAAAACAUCAUUUGAUAAGAAUUCUGAAGGAAACAGAAAGACAAGCUUGAAUAGGUGCCACCAACUGCAAUAGCAAGAUCAAAAUUUGUUUAUUACCCGAUGCCAAUGAAGAGUGCGUUUCUGGCUCAUAUACAUUAGCCCAUGUAAAAGCUAUAUCUUUCCUGCCACUCUUUGCAGCAUAUCUAUCGACGUGUCCCAUCUGCAAAAUAACCUCAAAGGUUUUAUAAGUAUCAGCAAUUACAAAGUAGUUGCCCAGCUGCGUGUAUGCAGUAUGCACUCCCUUGUCCUUUUAACUUGUAGCUACUAACAAUCUGUUCUAAGAUUUUGACUACAAAUACAUGUUUUAGCCUUUUAGGGCAAGAGGAAUACUAAAAGAAAAGCGCGGAAAUGAUUACUUUCUAUGAUUACAAGAGAAUGAGGCAUCCUUAAAAAGAGUAGAGUUAACAAAUGGUGAGGAAAGCAAAGAAAACUAUACUUCAGGAGGAUGUGGUAUUGAGGCACAAGGGUUCAUCCAAAAAUAGUACAUUAAGUCAUCAACAGUUCCUCCAUGACCCAUGGAUAGGAGUUCACACCAAGAUAUCAAAUCCCACACGAGUGACAAACUAAGAAUUGCUCAUAAAUUUCACAAAUUCAUUAAGCAAAAAAAUUGGAUGAGUUUAUUUUAUGAUAAAAAUAACAAACAAGAAGCACUGUUUCUAAUCCUACAAUAUGACAUAAGCAAAAUCUAAAUUGCGUGAAAAAUGCAGAAGAAAUCAUUUGGGCACACCUUACGUGGAAAAGAAUUGUUUGCUUUACAACCUCUUCAUCCAGAAAAGGGAUCUUCAGUAACGAAGCAAUCUUCAAGACAAGGGGAAAAAAGGCACAAAAGUAAGCAACCAUACUCAGUGUACAACAUACGUUUGUACAAACAUCUAGAAUUAUAGGACCCACAAUAACAUGUGCCUUCUCACGAUCCAUGUGCUUAGCUGUUGUGACCUGAGAAUUCAGCGUCUGGAGGAGGAGGAGCAGGGUGGUGGAGAAUUAUUAAGUAAACAUCCAGGAAAUAUUUGUUUAACCAUAAAGAAAAAGAAGAAGAAAGAUGUUAAACCUGAUCUUUAACAUUAAGUUUGGGAAACUGAUUGGUAUAACGAGAAAUGCAGUGAGGUAUAUUAAAGGGAGUGUCCUGGUGUGCUAGGCCUAUUCUGACAUUUGCAGACCCUGAGCAUCACCACCAAAACAGAAAAAUCCAAUUUCAUUGUGUUGGAGAUAAAAUUCUAAUGGGGAAUAGCAACCAAAAUUCUAAUUGGUAAAUUAAAAGAGCCAUGAUAUAAAACCAAGUAGUACAGCUAGUAAUGAUAGCAAUAGUACCAGGGUUAAUGACAACAAGAUUGGACCCUUGCUCUGUGACAAGCUGUGAUGGCACUACCGUCUUCAAGUAAUCCUGCCGGUUUCUUUUUUCCAAAAAAAAAACAAGAGUUACUGAAAUUGAAAGGAGAAAGAGAGAAAAUGCUUGUUGGAGGAGGUGAUGGUGUUGUCCCACAUACCAUGGCGAUGAAGCAGACGUCCGAGUGGAAGUUGCUACGGUCACUCAGAAUUAUGUUUUUCUUUCCGCUUCUGUUUUUCUUGUACUAAGAAAAGAGAGGGAGAGUGGCGUAAAACGACGUAGUAACAUUCCUAAUCAACUCGAGAACCUAAACGGAACGCAACGCAACGCAUAACCCACAAGUGAGACCUGGACCUUUCACAUGUUCAAGAUUUAAAAAUACUUAAUUUUUUAUAUUAAUAAAACAGUUUUCGUUGAAAUUGUUUUAAAGCAUUUUAAACAUUAAAAUGUAAAAAUUGAAAAUCAAUUAUUUUCACUAUUUAGAUUGAUCAAUUAUAGCUCUUUAAGCUCGUGUUUUAUUUGAAUAAAUAAUUUUUUAUUUUUUAUUCUGUGUGUUUUAAAUUGAGUUUAAAACUCUAAAAAUUAUUAUGGAUUUUAAACGUAGUAAGUAAAAUAAGUACUCACUCACAUUGAAAUAUAUGAUUUAUACAAAUGAUUGAAUUGUGCAAAAUGAUGAAUCAGGAUAUUUGCCUUCAUUUUCAUAAGUUUGAUUUGAUAUAUUUUAAAUCUCGAAAAAUUUUUUAUUUUAUUUAUCUUAAUUUAUUAUAUUUAAUUUUAUUAAAGAAGAGUCACCGUGAAAAGUUGUAAUUAGAGAAGUUGGAGCCAGGACUUUAAAAGUAUUGGCAGGGGCGCUGCCCCCUCCCCACCCAAAAAAAAUUCUUAAAUUUAAUUUUAAGCAUGUGUGAGUGUAAUGGGAGGAUUUUUAAAAUAUUGUUAUGUUUAACACUUUCAUUUAAUAAAAGAAAUUAAGAAUUUUUUUAUUUAUUUAACUAAAUAAAAAUUUAAUAUGUUGAAAUAAAAUAAAUUAUAAUUAUAUUUUUACUAAAUUUAUUUCUAAUUAAAUUAUAGUGUGCUUGUAGGGAAUAAAAAUAAAAGAAAGAAGAGUCGAGAAGAUGUAAAUGAUAGAAAAAAAAUAUUAAAGUUCAAAGAUUCCAACUCAAAAUUUCAAUUAUUUUUUAUAUUUUGAAAAUAUAAUAAGAUUAAUCAAAUUAUUUUUAAUUGGUAGUUAUAGUUAUUUUUAAAUGAUUAUUUAUUGAAUAAAAAAUAUUUAUUAUAUUAAUAAUUAGUUAUUGUAUUUUCUAACCAAUUAAAUGGUUAACCGAAUAUGACUGAACUCACAAUCCUCUUGGGUUAUUUAAUUUUUGAAUGUAUUUUUACUUCUAGCAAUGUAAAAAGCUUUAAUACAUUUAUUGCGAAUCAAAAGAUUAAUUUGUUUUAUUUUAUUUUUUUAAAUGUAUGAACUAAAAGAAGUUUAGAAUUCAAAUAUUAUUUACUUUUUCCCUAUUUAAAAUAAAUUAAUUGCAAUAAAAAAAUAAUAAAUUCUUAUAGGAUGAUGUAUAUUUUUUAAAAUUAAAAAUGACUAAUAAAUCUUUCAGUCAAAAAAUGAAAAUUGAAAAAAAAAACUGUGUUCUUAUUAUUUUUUUCAAUUUUAAAGUAUGAAUUAUGAAAUUUAUAAUAUUGAAGAAGGCGAAAAUUUUCAACCUUGUUACCUUGUUCCAUUAGUUUUUUCUUUAAAAAAAAAAAAUAUGCCUAUAGUUUUUUCACAUGAAUUAGGAAACUAUAAUUAAUAUAGUUAAACAACUAAUUUUAUAUUAUCUUUUCUAAUAUAUUAUCCACUUAAAUUGAAUAUUAUUCAAUUAUUAAACUAUUAAAAUUAAUUUUUUUUUAUUUAUUUAACCAUAUUUUCUAAUAAAUAACUAUCAUCUUAAAAAAAUAAUUUGAUAUGAAUAAAAAAUAAAAAAAGUUUGCGUUUAUGUAACGAAAGAAUAAUAUAUAUAUAUAAGGUGAUUAAAAUAGCGUGAUGAGACUUGCUAAAUUUAAGCUUAGGAGUGUAAUUGUAUUCAAUUCAAUUGGGCGGUAGAAAUAGAUACCUCCACCAAUGAGCUAAUUGAGCUAAUUAAAAGAAAAUGACCUUAUCAUUUUAUUUUCUUGCCUAUCAUAAAAUUUGCGUAGCUAUGAAUGCCAAAAGCAACAAACAGACUCAAUAUAGUUACUAAAUUUGUUAGGCUGCCAGGAUGUAGUUCAUUAAUUUCAGUGGAUUCUGCUUAUUUUCACAGCCAUACUGGUUUUCCAUUUCUCAAAGCACGACGCAAUUGCUGAACCAGUAGAAGUGUAUAGACAAACAAUUGUUUGUUUUUUUUUGCGGCCAUACUGUUAUUGAUGAUAUUAGUCACAUGGCCACCCCUCAACCUUCUUCAUAUCUAUGCCUUCCACUUUCCUUUCUUUCACUGGCUAAAGAAAAAAAUAAAAAAUAAUUAAAAUUUGGGUCGAACAAAUUUGAGAUGAGACAGAGCUCUCUCUCUCUGUUUUUAAUCAUGGAACUAGGGCCGAUAUCUAUGUGCGUAAAUAGAAUCGUCCUCAUUGCAGGCGAUCGUGCUAGAGAAGGAAGGUGUUGAUUCUUUUUUUCCAAACCUUUUCUUUCAAGACAAACACAAUUUUCUUUUUAAUUGAUUUUUUACGUAAUUGUUGUCGACUUGACACGUUCCAACUUCCUGCCACCAACAUUAAUUCUAAUGCUCAUAAAUACACGCAGAUCCAAAAUUAAAAACUAUUUUCUAAAAGUCUGAUUAUUAUGAAUAAAUUAAAUAUUCAUUAAUUAAGUGUUCCGGUCUGAUCUGAAUUAUCAUAUACUCAUACCAAAGAAAAAGCUAUAUCGUAAAAAGAAUAUGUGAAAAAAUUAUAUUGUUUAUUAAUUGAAUUUUUAAAUGUUAAAAAAUAUAAAAAAAUAUUUUAAAUAAUAUUUUCUAUAAAAUAAAUAAAAAUUUAAUUUAUAAUUUUUUUACAUUUUCUAAAUUUAUAAGUUUUUAUAUGUUAACAGAAAAUUAUAAAAUUUUUUCACCUAAUUACUACUUCAUCAUAAAAAAAUUAUAUUGACUAUAUUAUUAUACCAUUAAUUUUUGUAGACGACACUUUUGCGCUUCACAAUAAAAUUUACAAUUUCAUUGUGAUUUUUGUAAUUUAUACGAUAAUUUUUUGAAUGACAAUAAAUUGAAUAUUUUUAGAUAUUUAAUUCAACUGAUAUAAUAAAAUAAAAUAGAUAAUUAUAAUUAAAUUUAAAAUAAAUUUAAAUAUAAAAAUUAGUAGCGUUAUAGAUUUAAAAUUUAUAUAUAAAAUAUAAUUAUCAAAUUUAUUUAUAUAAAAUAAUUAAUUUAAUAAUAAAAUAUACUUUACAAUAAUAUUAUAAUAUUUAUGUCUUAUUUAAAAAUUAAAAUAUUUUUUUAAAUAUUAAAUUUUUUAAAUGAAAUUUAUUAAAAAAUAUUUUUAUAUAAAUUAUUAAUUAAAAUAUAUAAAUUAUUAAUUAAAAUAUAUAAAUUAAAUGAAUUUAAAUAAUUCGAGUAAUUUUUCUUUAAAUUUAAAUAUUGAUAAUAUAAAUUAAAUUAACGGUACGCUUAAUUUUCAUGGAUGCGCUAACUAUUUAUAUCACCACUGUACUACUGAUAUUAAUAUGAAAAAGAGAGUUAAAAGUCAAUUUACCAACUUAACAUUGUGAAUGACGCGAAAACCACGGGCCUAAGUCUAACACGGCGACCAUUCAAAGGCCUUUAUCCCCUUAUUCACGAAAAAUAUAGACCAUCGGAGCAUACACUCAGACGUAUUGAACUAGGAAACUCGCAUAUUUGUUGCUCCACGUAAUUAUAUGAAACAAUCUGAUUGGUCCGUCCACGUGUUUGUCUGAAUUUAAAACCGCGCCAUUUAAGUAGCGAGUUAAGUUGGCUUAUAUACUCGCGCGAUUAGGCCCACUGCGGCCUUAAGUUUUUUUUUUUAGAAGAAAUUUCACACCCUUUUUGAUGUCGUGGCUCUCUCGCUGGUAAUUCUAAAGCGCCGUCCCUCGAUUUUCCCCUUUUAUACCUCCUCGGUGUGUCGGUUUAUAUAGGUUUUGCAGAUAAACAUUUGAAGUUCGGUGUUUAGAAGUGUUGUGCCUCCGUCCUUACUGUAAUGGCUUUCGUCUCUUUCGUUGGUAGAGUUCUCUUCGCCUCUGUGUUCAUCCUCUCUGCUUGGCAAGAGUAAGCACAUCGCAGAUCUGCUCCCUCUUUCUCUUUAGAUAUUGUCAUUUUGACUUUCACGCUCUUUGGAAUAGUUUGCUUUAAGCUUGUUUGUUUGAAGAAAAAAUCGGGGGAAUGCCGAUCGGAGAAGAAAGGAGGAGAUCAUCAUCGUUAUUCUUAUUUAUCUAUGUUUAUUUAUAUUUGCACAUGGGUUAAUUAAAUGCCGUGGAAUUGCCUUUUUUUUAACAAAAAAAAUUAGGAGAGACGUUUUUAGAUUGUGAUUAUUAGUUUAGGUUUAUGUCUUGUGAAUGGGACAAUGAAGUGGCAGUGAAGAUCGGGCGAUAGUAAAACUUUUCUGGUUGAUGUGAUGUUGUUUAUCUAGGUGUCGGGUGGUUUUAUUUACUCUUCCGUACAGUCAUUGGCUUGUAUGUUGAUUUUCUACUUCUUGUUCAUCGAUGCUUGCUCUUUUUUGCAGUGUAGUGGUUUUUUGCUUUAUUGACUACGUUUUUAUGCUCUUGGUCGAGCUCCUUUUUUAGGCUCCGGAUCUGAUAGUUUCAUUCUUCUCUACUUUUUCUUUGGGGUUUUUGUGUGUGUGUGUUUGNNNNNNNNNUUAAAAGUUUAGAUUUUUCAAUGCUUUGUAUGCUCUGGACAUGUCUACAAGUACAAGGUAACAAUAAAUAAGCUAAAUUUGGUCAUAUAUGGAUGUUUUCCGCCAAUUGCUUUUCAGUCUUUAGAAAUUGAUAUAUAUGAAUCUUGGAGGGAGGGCUGGGAACUGAUAAAUUAGUAAUUUGAGUGGAUGCACAAAAGGGUUCAGAAAUAGUCAAUCAACUUGAGCAGUUGAGUUAAUUUCAAUUUUUAUUUUUAUUUUUAAAUUUUUUUUUGUCUCUGGCGUCGAAGCGUGCCUAGUUAGUUUAUUCACGUUCUUCAUUGAUGUGCACCAGUUUUCUGUUGCUUAUGAGAAUGAUUAAAGGUGCUGGUGGAAGAGAUCUCUUUUAAAUUAGAUAAGUUUUACUUGUAUAACUGUUAAUUGUUAAAAUGCUUGCAAUUUUUUUUUCUCAAUAAAAUUCCACAAGCUGAUUUCCAAAAUAUAUGAACUGAGAUAUGUGAAUCUAAAGCCUGCUAAUUUAAUAGGAAAAUGCUGAAAGUAUUGGUUGCUGCUAGUUACUUGCUCAUCUUCCAAAUAUUUUUAUUUAUGAUUCAAUUCAUUUUCAUGCUGUUAGAUUUAGAAACAUGCAAACAAAUUUGGUUUUAAAUUCGGACCAGUUGCAUACAGUCUGUUCCUCUUUUCAUAUUGCUUUACCCUGUAAUGAUGAUUUUUAUAGUUCUUGAUGGCAUUUAAAUGCUAAUGUUAUGACAUUCUACUGCUUUGCACGUCUUUUGAUCUUACUCUUCAUGUUCACCAAUUGCUUCUCAAGCACAAAGAUGCUAAUAAAUGUGUUUAGUUAUAUAACUAUCAGUUUAUUAUCCUGGCUGUUAAUUUCAUGUUGGAUCAUCAUUGUUGCUCUCGUUGAUAGGUUCAAUGAGUUUGGUAUCGAUGGUGGGCCAGCAGCAAAAACUUUUGCACCAAAGUUCAAAGUUUUCUCAAGGCACGUGUCAUCUCAUACUGGGUUUCAAGUGCCACCUGUUGAAGUUAGUGAUGCCUUUUUUUUUUGUAGUAGCAUUUGUUUUCUUAUUGGUUUUUUGAACAUUAUAACCAUUAUUGUUGUUAUUCACAGAUGAAGCAUGCAGUUGCUGCAGCAAUAGCCGUGAAGGGUGUUGGAAGCCUUCUUUUCAUCUUUGGUAGCUCUCUUGGUGCUUAUCUUCUGGUGAGUUGAUCAUAGUCUCUGUAUUCUUAUUUUGAACUGGCAGUUGACCCUUUUCAACCAAAUUAAGAGUUACGGUCUUGUGCAGCUUGUGCACCAAGCAAUUGUUACUCCAAUAUUGUAUGAUUUCUACAACUAUGAUGCUGACAAGAAAGAAUUCAAUCAGCUUUUCAUGAAGUUCACACAGGUUAGCAAUUUUAAAUAACCGUGUUGGAGUUCUUAUUUAUCUGUGUUAUUAAUUUUCUUAAUUCUGUUUCUUCAAAUGAUUCUUCUCUACUAUGUCACUAGCUCUUGUUUUUAUCUAAUAAAAAGAUUGAUGAAUGCUUAAUUUGUUUUUUUGCAGAACUUGUCACUGUUUGGGGCAUUGCUUUUCUUCAUUGGCAUGAAGAACUCAAUUCCAAGGAGACAGCUCAAGAAAAAGCCGCAGAAAUCAAAGAUAAUGUGAAAAAGGAACUAUUGACGUUGUGGAGAUUUAGCUUUCUAGACAGCUUCUUAAUGUUGAUUUUGCUGAAGUUUAGUUUUUGUAUGGUUGUAUCAGUUUUUUCUCUUUUAGAGGUUAGGGACCUAUAAUGGAGAAAAAGAAGAGGUUUUUUAAUUGUUGAGUUUGUGCUAUUGUAAUGUACUCUGCCAUUUAUGGCCACAAUUGAGGUUUAGAUGCGAAUUGCGAUCCUUUGUAAGUCUCAAAUUGGAAACGUUGUCUGUCCACUCCUGAUGGGAACUGGGGAAGUGGAGAAUCUGAUGUUGAAAUACGUUACCAGUUGUGCGUUUGUUUUGCGGGUGCUUCUGUAGGUCAUAUAAGUAGCACUCAGUAUCCCUGCUUAGUUUUCACAGUUCAUCUCUAGUUAAUGUUUUGACAAGCUGAGCUGCAUUCUCCAACGAAUUGCAAUUAUUUCUUACCGGUAGUUAGUCUGUCAUGUGUUAACUCCAAAAGAAGUAAUCAGUUGUUUUAAUUGUUGCCUGAGGCUCGUGGUCUGAACCUAAACCUCUUGAAAGAGAUGUGUUCUGAGGGGCUUCAGUUGUGCCGUUAUCUGGCGUGCCUCCGGCUGGAAUUAACCAUAGUUACAAGCUAGCAUUCAGAUAAUGACUUCCUCACGGUGCUUCUAUGAGACCAUAUUGGUGGCCAUUUUUAGCAUGGACGAGACAUCUUGAGUCUCUGGCGUGUUUUUUAAGCACAUUUGAUUUCUUUGCCAAAUUUGACACUCUAUUGCCUUAUAGUGCCAUGACUCAUUUUAAUUUAAUUAAAAAUUAAUUUAAACUAUUUAAAUUCAUUUUAUAUUUAAUUAUUAUUAUUAAAUAAAAUCAAAUUUGUUUAUUCUUAUAUAUUUUAAUUAAUAAAUAAAAAUUUUUUUAUUAAUAAUUUUUAUUUAGAAAAAUUAAUAUUUUUAAAAAUAUUUAAAUUUAAAAUUUUAAAUAUAUAAAAAAUUAUAAAUAUCAUUAUAAAAUAUAUUUUUUAUAUUAAAUUAAUUAUUUAUAUAAAUAAUUAAAAUAAUAAUAUCUUAUAAAUAAAAUUUAAUUCCAAAUAUUAUUUUUUAAUUUCAAAUUCAUCUCAAACUCCAUUAUAAAUAUUUAAAAUUUUUUAUUAUACAUAUUCAAAUUUAUUCAUUACAAUUCGGUCGGAUACUAAGCCCGAAACUACCGACCCUGUUGCCAUCCCGAAGAGGGGAAAAAAAUGAUAGGUGCUGAAUGCUUUAUCUGCCAUUGUUUGAACAGCGUUAGAGUGGAUAACUGAACAAAGAAAAAUGUCCUCCACAUUGGACCCUGAUUAUUGCCGGAAAAAUGAAUUAAAAGCUUUUGAUGACACAAAAGCUGGUGUUAAAGGACUUGUUGAUGCUGGAAUUACCCGGGUCCCUCGCAUUUUCCAUCAUCCACCUGAUGACCAUGACAAAAUUUCACACCAUGCUGCUGAAGCCAAGUUCACUUUUCCCGUUAUAGACCUUGAGGGCGUCAAUCAAGGUUCAGCUUUGCGCAAGGAGAUUGUUGACAAAGUACGACAUGCUUCAGAGACUUGGGGAUUUUUUGAAGUCAUCAACCAUGGGAUUUCUCUAAGUGUCCUGGAGGAGAUGAAGGAAGGAGUUCGUAGGUUCUACGAGCAAGAUGUUGAGGUGAAAAGUGAAUUUUUCUCUCGUGAUUUCACGAAAAAGGUUGUAUACAAUAGCAACUUUGAUCUUUACACUUCCCAAUCUGCUAAUUGGAGAGAUACUCUUACUAUUCAAAUGGCUCCUGAUCCUCCCAACCCAGAAGAGCUUCCAGCUGCAUGCAGGUAAGCAUCAAACCUUCUAAUCUCUUUAGAGUUUAGCCCCCUGUUUGGAAUUAAUAAUGUUGCUGGAAUUCAAUUCCAUUAAUUCUUUUCUUGUAGUUAUUUUAUUUGAAAUAAAAUAAUUCAAUAAUUUAAAAAAAUUAUAUAAAAAUGAUUUUGCAAGAAUUCUUCUAAAAUUUUUUUUGUAAGGUUAGGAAUUUGUUUAACGGUUGCAAAUGCAAUCAUCAUAAAAUCUUGGAAAUAUUGUGUUGAAUCUUAAUUCUGUCUUCUAAAUUAAAGGAGUAUUUUCUGAACAAAAUUAUGCAGAGAUAUAGUACUGAAGUACAGAAAGGAAGCACUGAAAUUGGGAGAUUUACUAUUCCAAUUAUUAUCAGAGGCUCUUGGUCUGAAUUCAAACCACUUGAAAGACAUGGAUUGUGCUGAGGGGCUUGUAGUUCUGUGUCAUUACUAUCCAGCAUGCCCGCAACCAGAAUUAACCAUGGGCACAACCAAGCAUUCAGAUAAUGACUUCCUCACCGUGCUUCUUCAAGACCAUAUUGGUGGCCUCCAAGUUCUUCAUCAGAAUCAGUGGAUUAAUGUUCCUCCCACGCCUGGGGCUCUAGUGGUUAACAUUGGAGAUCUUCUACAGGCAAGCCUCCUAACUUUAUUUUCACACAGAAGUGUUCCCAAACUUACUGAGAAAUAUCAUCGAGGUUGCUGCUAAACAACACUUCUGAACCCAUUUUUGCUUGCUAAGAUUGUAUUUCUUGCUGAUUUUCCAGCUCAUAUCAAACGACAAGUUCAUAAGCGUUGAGCACAGGGUGCUGGCAAACAACGUAGGACCAAAAGUAUCUGUGGCAUGCUUUUUUAGCACUGGCCUAAUGCCAAAAUCAAGAAUCUAUGGACCUAUUAAAGAGUUGUCAUCGGAAGAGAAUCCUCCGAAGUACAGAGAAACCACGGUGAAAGAAUAUGUUGCUCACUUCCAUGCAAAAGGCCUUGAUGGGACUUCUGCUCUGCUGCAUUUCAAGCUCUGAAGCCUAGAAUGACAAAUAUGUGGCCAUGUGAUCUGAUUAGCACAUCUCGUGGAAUUUGAUUGAUGUUAUUUGUGGAAUUUGAUUAAUGUUAUUUUUGGAAUUUGAUAACGAAGCUAUGCGAACAUUAUUUUGGAAUUGGUCAUAUAAACUUGAACCUGAGAAAAAUAUGCGGUGUCAUUUAGCACCUAAUCUAAAACCUUCUUCCUCUUUAUCUUGGGGGCAUUGAGAAUAUGACGUUUGUUUAAAAUCAACAGAUCAACUCGAAAAUUAUCAUUAAUAUCAUGGAAGUUAGCUUCAAAGAAAAUUAAACAAUGAGCACUUGUAAAUUAACUAUAUGUUGCAGAAGGGGAGACAUGUUUUCUGUCCGAUCCGGUCAUGGGUUGAUCCUCCCACCAUUGGAUGGGAUAUAGAUAGUUUUUGUCUGGUCCUUCUCUUGGCAGUUUGGGGCUUUAAUGAGAAUCAAUGUUUGGUUAAUUUCCAUAAUGUUGCUUUAAUUUUUUCUGCUUCGCUUGCUUUUUGAUUUGAUCUUUAGAUGCCGGUUCCCUAAAUCUGUAUGAGCAAUAGUCUCCUCUGUCUCUCAACGAAGGCCCGUUGGCCAUGGGCGGCUUUGUGUUAUACUAUGAGCCUUUUCUUUUUCUAGUCUGGGGAUAGCGAAUUAGUGGGCCUCGAUUACUUUCUUUUCCCCUUUUGUUUUUUGAAGCUCAUGAAAUUUAUAAUGGAUCUUAGGAUACCACAACUGUACUAGGCCUGAGGCCCCUUUACUAAUGAAUUAUGAUUGGGUAGUAAACCUUUUCCCCUUUCUUUCUUGAAAUGCAACUUACAAAGACUACAUGAUUUUGUAUGCUUUCAACUAUUUAGUUUUGUAAUUCGCAGUUUUGCACGGAACUGGACAUAAACAAUGAAAAUCAAGUACUCAUCAUCCAAAAUAUUCGAUUUUCGUUCGUAAUUUGGAUUGGUGUAUGAAACUUCCUAGUCGCUUCUUCUCAAUGCAAUCCCAAUCCUUGUCUCCUGCCAAGAACAGAAUGACAUCCAGUAAAUUUUAGAGACUGGGCUUAGCUGCAAACAACAAUUUUCCCAACAGGGUUUAUAGGGACAUGCAAAUUUAGAAGGUAUUGGCAGGAAUUUGCAGGGAAAUUUCCCUGCUCAAGAGCACUUCAAAUACGAUAUGGACAUGCUUCCAUCUGUAAAACUUGCUCAUCAGUCUCCGGAAGGUCAAUCGCAGUGGAGGUAGUUGUAUCGAGUCUUGUUAGUGGGUGAGACUUCUAAACCUAGUUCCUCAAUUGACCCAAACCAACUUCUUUUCAUCUUGCAAUUCUGAUACUCAAAUCGUUUAAUUUUGGUAUGAAUUGAUCUUCCUUGAAAUUAAUUAUUACGGUGUAAUCGUGACAUCAAUUUUUUUUUUCUUUUUGUCAUUUACUCAUUGCGGAUAUUUUAAACCUGUAAUGCAUUUAAAUAAAUGGUCACUUGCAGAAUCAUCAUUCAAUCAUUCGCAGGUCUCCAAAUCAGCUUAAUGGCGUCGAAUGGUGCAAAACAGCCCUUGAUGUCUGAAACAAAUAACGCAUUUGCUCCCAAGAAAAGAAAUUUUCUCUAUGUUAAAAGUGCUCCUCUAGCAAAGUUUGUUUUUUCAGAAUUUGGCAGAAAAUUGCCUCCAAGUGCUGAAUCCAUUUUUGGGAAGCUGCACACCAGUUUCAGGGAAGUGGCCAUCUUACUGGCUGUCUACUUGGGUAUUGGGACCUUAUGCUUUUCCUUUGUCCUGGAUGAUCUGAAAGGGAAGAAAACAACUCCAAUUAUUGAUGCUUUAUAUUUCUGUGUUGUGACAAUGACCACUGUUGGAUAUGGGGAUCUAACGCCUGAUACCAGCUUUGUAAAGAUACUUGUUUGUGUUUUUGUCUUCAUAGGGAUGGCAAUUGUGGGAUUAAUAAUGAAUAAAGUUGCAGAAUACUUGGUCGAGAAGCAGGAAUUAAUGCUGGUUAAAGCACUUACUAAGCAUCAAAAAAAUGAUCCAUCUAAAAUCACAGAGACAGAAUUCAACAAACCGAUGUUCAAGUGUCUUUUGGCCAUGGCCAUUCUUUCAGUGCUUAUGAUGAUUGGAACCAUAUUCUUACUCGUAAUUGAAGAUUUAAACAGCAUUGAUGCCUUAUUUUGUGUAUGUUCAACUGUGACGACCCUGGGCUUUGGAGACAAGAGUUUCUCAAGUGCAGGUGGCCGUGCUUUUGGUAUACUGUGGAUACUGAGCACUACUCUUGGUAUGGGCCAGUUUUUUCUCUACGUUGCGGAGCUAUUCACUGAAAGCAGACAAAAGGCACUGGUAGACUGGAUUCUUAACUGGAAGAUGACCAAUCUUGAUCGUAUUGACAAUAAUGGAGUAGUUGGGUAAGAAAAUUUUGGUUUCCUUAUAUUCAUUAUUAUCAAAUGUACAUGAAUGGAGAUGGUUGUUUGUAUCAUUGAUUUUCUUGACAGGUCUGCUGAGUUCAUCAUAUCGAAGCUUAAAGAGAAGGGGAAGAUUGGGGAAGAAGAUAUCUCAGUUGCCUUGAAAGAGUUUGACGUUCUUGAUGUUGGUGAAAUUGGAAUCUUGUUAGCAUCUCAUUUAGUACGUGCUAAAACUGCUCAAAGGAAGUGAUAUGAGGCAAUGAGAAGUGGCUAUUAGCUUUGUAAAAAUUUUAUAUAGAAUUUAUGUAUUUUCCGAGUGUCUAUUCAUAGAGACCACAGUAGUUGUGCUUCCCUGGUCCGGGGCUGUGCGCUUUUCUACAAGCUAGCAAGCUAGCAAGCUUGCAAAUUUAAUUUUCUAGUUGCCUUGUUUUAAUUUUAUCUUUUGCCAAACCAAUUAUGAAAAUAAAAUUUUAAAAUUAAUUAAGAAGAGUAAGUUUAUUUUUCAUUCCACUUCGGUGAGAUAGCGAAAUGGGCCUAAUAAAGUAGAAAUGGGCCAAUGGCAUGCUGGACCCGAAGCCGUAACAAAUUCAAUAUGUUAGACUUGCUCAUAAUUUGAGCAAACUUAAUCUCUGCUUAGGUAAAUAUUUUUGUCUUCGUAUUUUCAUUGGGUGGCCAGAUUGUUCACAUUUUACUUUUGUUUUUUUUUUUCAAUGAAACUUUCAUUCAUAGUGUUUCAUAAAAAAUUAAAUAACUCGUAUUAAAUUACUGUUAAGUCUAAUAAAUUUUAAUUUUAAUCAGGGAUAAUAUUGAGAAAUUAAUAAAUAAACAACAAUAACAAAAAUAAUAUAAAACUUGAAACACAUGAAAAAAAAACCCUUGUAGAUAAUUGUUUUUGGUAUAAUUAAAAACAUGCCCAUUAUUAUUAAGCUAAACACAAUUAAUGCAACUUUAUUUAGCUGAUUAUUGGAGUCAAAUUUAAACUCACACUCAAACUCAACCGUCGUUAAUAUUGAGAUGUAUCUUUCCGUCAGCGAUGCAUAUUUACGGCAAACUUAUCCCACCGGCAACAGAGUUGUGGAGUGCCGACUACAUCUGUAAUUUUAUCGUUAAUGUAACUUUUUUUAUUUUAUAGACAUAAAAAAAAUACAGCGCAGAUAGAUAUAAUGAUAAAAAAUGCUUAUAUUAAUUUUUUUCAAUCAGUAAAAAUUAAAAAUUAAUUGGUCGGUAGGAUUGUACUAUUAAAUCCAAUCAAUUCGAACCAAAUCAAACUAAAUAAAUCUAAAAAAAUUACAUUACGGGUCAGUUUAAAAUAUUUUAUUUAAAUUUCGUUAAUUUCUCUAUCGGUUUGAAAGAAACCAUUACAACCAGACGCUUCACCUAUCAUUCUAUUCUCUAUGCAUUGACUUCAAAUCUCUUCACAUGGAUUUCAAAUCUCUUCAAAUUAAUUAUCUGUCUAGAUUGUUGAUCCAUCCUAUCUUCAUUGACUUCAAAUCUCCGGUGAAUUCAAGUUAACACAAACCUCUAAAGACUUCAAGAUAUAUAUGAUUGUUGAUAUCAGAAUCUUUUUCUUUUAUUUUCUAUUCUUUUUCUUUGUGGGUUUUAUUUCAUUGUUUUUGAGACUUUUAUUUGUAAUGAUUGAAUUGAUUGUUCUUUUUAAUUUUAAUUGCAAUUUCAGUUUGUUAUCCUUGCUAUCGCGGAGUCUCUUCAAGUUUUAUUCAAUUGCUUGCUUUCUUAUAGUAAUUGUGAUAGAAUUGAGUUUUUAAAUAAUAAUGAUUAUUUUCUUCUCAUAGUAAUUGUAAUUUCAGUUGAUUGAAUUGAUUGGAUUUUUUUUUUUUUUUAAAAAAAAAAAAACUUAAUUGCAAUGGAAUUUCUAGCAACCAGUUGUUGGGAGAUGCGUUCAAUCAAUGGUUUACCUGUUUGUCUUUUCAUUAUCUGCUCAAUCAAUAUAAUUUUAAUGUAUAUGGUUGCUUCAUUUGCUUGUUUUUUCAUUUAAUUGACUCCUGAGUAUUUUAAGGGUUGAAGAGAAUAGGAGCUUUGAUCAACGUUACAUGGAGAUAUGUUCAUAGAUAGACAAAGGUCACUUAGGUUCAGUUGAUCACAAGUGAUAGGCCCUAGUAUAUGUGUAUUGUAUUUUGGUGGUUAUUUCAUGCACUGAAUUAAAUAUCUAGCUUUUGUGCCUUAGAUUAUUAGAAUUACUAUUGGGUGGUUUUAAUUUACAGUCAUCUACAUUUGGGGUAACUAUUCCAAGGAAGGAAAAAUACCCAUUAGAAAAAGGGAUUCCAAACGAGGCUAGUUAUAUUAGUUCAGCUUCUUCCAGUAGUGCAGUUUGAAUAUGUCACUAUUGUUAUUUUAUAUAGAAGAAGCAUGUGGUCUUGGCUAAGCAAAAACCUUAUUAUUUAUAUGUCUACUUGUUGAUUUAGUAAGUUGAUAGAGACAUGAGGCCAUGUUUUUCCAAUGUUGCUUUUGCCUUUUUCUUUUGCAUUGUUCCCUUCGUAAAAGAGACUUUUUCUUUCCACACAUCAGCAUUACCACCUUUUGGUUUGGAAAAAAAAAAAGGAUUCAGCAUGUGGAAUUGGAGUUGAUGAUAAAGCAUGCAUGGAGAUAUAGGCUUUAGUUUGAUGAGUACCUAACUAUGAGGCUCUUGUGAUUUGGCCUUGAUGAUUCUUUUUUUUUUUCUUUUUCCUUUCUUUUAUUUCUAUUCCUCAUUUCUCAUCAGCCUAACAAAGAAUGAAAAACAACACUCCAGCUUCUUGGUUCAAUGGUGGCUGAAAAUCAAAACAGUAGUUUUGUUUUUAGAAAAGCUGAAGCUUUACUGGUCAACACAGAUCCAGUCUUCCUUUUAUGGGUGAAGGCUGAUGUAUGAGAGAGUCUGUUAAAUUUAAUUAACUCAUGAUUAAACUUCACACAACUACCCCUAAGCCUUACGGGUGAAGACUUAGCAAUAAACAAAUAGUUCUUUUAGGAAUUUUCGGUGCCCAUGAAACCAUUAAAGCAUGCUUGUGACUGGUGCAACUACUCUGAGCAGUUCACUUUGCAAUUUUCCCGUUUGCAUUUCUAUCCUUUUCUACUCUACGAUUCCUAUCAACUUUUAUUUUUAUUUAUUUAGUUUUCACUAGCAAUUUCACCCCUAAUUAUCCCAUGAUCACUUAGGAUUUUCCCAUUCUCCAGUUAAAUCUAGUUGAACCUGACCCAUAAAGUUGGAUGAGAAAAACAAUAUAAGGAAAUAUUACUACUAAAUAAAUGAACUUCAAAUUACAAGUAUCAUUUACUCUUUUUUUAGCUAUUUUAUUUUGACCAUGAAACUUUUAUCAUUGAGUUGAAUAUGGGUGUAAUAGCAAAACCUACACAGCCCCUUCAGGUGUACGAAAAAAAAGGGAAAAAAUAAAUAAAAUAAAAGUAAAAGUAAAAGCCAUGGAUGAGAGAAGGUAUCAGAGUUUCAUUGAACUCUGCAAUGUCUUUCUUGUCCAAUUCAAUAUUGUCUAUCAUUUGCUUUAAUUUCCUAGCUAGGGCCUAUCACUUGUGAAAUGAGUAGGUGGAGGUUGAUUUUUAUUUCUUUCUAUACACUUAUCGUUGAUUUUAAUACUUAGUAAUUUUUUAUUGAUUAUUGUUUUGUAAUUUUUUUUCUAGAUGGAUAAUGAAGCUAAUUAGGGUACUUCUUAUAUAUUAUUAUACUUUAAUUCUCUAUAAGAGGGCUAUUUAUAUUUAGCUAUAAUUUUAACUAGAAUACUAUUUAUAUUUAUUCAUAAGUUUAACUUAUUUGCAAUACACGGUCUAGAAGAGUUUAUAAACAAAAAUAAUACAAAAUAUCUUUAAAAAAUUUAAGUUAAACUAAAUCAGGACAAACAAUGCCUACAAUUUAAAAUACUGCUUUUUAGUCCUUCGUUAAUUAAAUCGUUAUGUCGAUCGUUAGACCCUAUAUUGCUCAUCAGAUUAUUCUACCAUCUUGUCGUCAGUUGAUGGCAUUAGACCAGUCACUAAAUCACCCUUACACUUACUAUACUUUGUCUGGUUAUCCACCAAGUCGUUUGGCUCUCCACCGUCUUGUCAUCGGUUGAUGACAUUAGACCAGUCACUAAAUCACCCUUACAUUUUCUAUAUUUUGUCUGGUUAUCCACCAAGUCGUUUGGCUCUCCACCAUGUCGUCAGGUUUACAGCUCGUCUAGUUAUCCACCAAAUCAUCAGGUGUAUACUUCGUCUAAAUUGUUAGGUUUAUACCUUGUCUAAUCAUUCGUCGGGUCUACGCACGCCUCGUAUCCUCCUACAUUGCAAUGACUUUUACCUAAUAUUUUUUUUUAAAGUUUCCAUAAUCAUGCCAGCCAAGGGUUGGUAAUUAAAUUUUAUUAGUGUUUCUAUUAUGUGGGUAAUGUAAUACAUAAAUUUAAUAUUUUUUAUUUUCAUUUAAAUAUAGUAAUGUGGAGAAUUAAUUUUGUUAUUAUUUUUAUUUUUUAAUACAUGAUAUUUUAAUUUUUAUUGUAUAUUAAGUUAUUUACAAAUUAUUCAAAUUUGAUGGGAAAUGAAAAUUUCAAUAACAUUAAACUUAGAAAACUUUUUCCAUUUGAUAGUUGGAAACCGACCCUCUAUUUUUACAAAUUUUUCUAUUGAGUUGGUCGGUUUGGUAAUAAUUUGAGGUCCAGGUACAAUAAUUAAAAAAUUCCUCCAAAUCAACUGUUGAACAGUACUACUGGUCGGUUGACGCUAACCACAAAUAUUAGCAAGCUUCGAUAUAUUUUCUUAUUAAAACAGAUAUUGUUGCAGUUAACAGUGAAAUGGUGAUCACGAAGGCAAGCGAAACUCAAAUGGAAACUCAGUCCAAUUAUGACAGGAAAAGCGAGUUAAAAGCCUUUGAUGAUACAAAAGCAGGUGUGAAGGGACUUGUAGAUGCUGGUUUAACAAAGAUUCCUCGUAUAUUCAACUGUCAACAGUUUAUUUUCCAGCAUAGCUCAAAAACUGCAUCAGAUCAGCACAACAUUCCUGUCAUAGACCUUAAGGGGAACCUUGAAGUUUCAUCUUUCGAGGCAGACAUCAUUGACAGAGUUCGAAACGCAUGCGAAAAUUGGGGUUUCUUUCAGCUAAUCAAUCAUGGGAUUCCAAUUAAUAUCAUGGAUGAGACCCUCAAUGGAGUUCGU
This 78383-nucleotide long non-coding RNA is filed under the name Manihot esculenta (cassava). RNAcentral's name for it is "long non-coding RNA (MESC_LNC008857)". Lineage: Eukaryota; Viridiplantae; Streptophyta; Magnoliopsida; Malpighiales; Euphorbiaceae. The record is from RNAcentral.